UAGGUAAGGUAAACUACAGAGCAUAACACGUUGCCCCCCUUCCAUGGCUCGCUCAGCUCUGGGUAAGAAAGAGCCUAAGUAGAAUCACAGUGCUGAUUUUGACCGCUGGACUGCUUGUUGUCGACGCCUCCAUCGCCACUGUGGCCUGGAGUUGAUGUGUGCUCCGGUCGGUCGGCAGUGGAGGACAAGUGGGAGUUAGGGCAUAGCUAUAGCUAGCGGCGGUGUUCUUGGUCGUUCUAGCUGUCUGUGGGCCGUGCCAUUGAUUCCGGUAGGGUAGAUGGUCUGUAUGGCCUUGAAGAAAAGUUUGCCAACGGAAGGAAGGAAUCCAAAUGUAGGUGUGUAAUUAGUACUGGUAGUAUGUUGCUUUCGCUUUCUGUCGAUGAAAUGAAAUGAAAUGUUUGCUCCAUGCUCCUGGCCCAUAUGUGUAUGUAUGGGUGGCGGUUGUUGCACAUCGACAGUAUCUCCGGGCAUGUAACUUGGUUUUCCUGGGUCCAGCUAUUUAUUUUGGUCAUCAAACUCGGAACAGAGAUGGGUUCGAACGGAAUCGAAUACGGAGUACAAUAAUUAUUUUGUUGGCUCUGUAUUCUGGGCCAUCCAUCGCAAAUGAUUGCAUCGAACAUACGUACUCCUGAAAUUUAGUUGCCUGCAUCUUGGGGUGGAGGAGUAAAUGAAGACUAUUCAGCAGAACCUGUUCAUUGAAUUAUUGAGUUAUCCACACUGGCGUCUGCCUCGGAAUUUCUCUGUAGUUUCUGUAUCACAUGUACAUACAGAAACAGUUUUCGUCGGCAAAGCGGUUCAAGGCUUGGGAGCCACAGGUGUCGGUUUCCCGCCGUGUCUAUUUUUGAUUCAUUUCGAAGCCCAGGUUGCUGUGGUGAAAGCGCUCAGUUUUGUGUGCUGUCGGUUGUGUACUGGAGACGACAGUGCUGGAGUUUGGAUUGGCUUUCACGAUCCGCGUCUCGUUUGCAUCGAAGAGGGCAACCACCCCACACCCACAUGCAAAUUUGAAUUUGAAAGAGUGCGAGUGCUCUACACUUCUUCUGCUAUGGUGCCAAGCAUGUGGAUUUGGAUGCUCGAUCUGUUCCGCAAACGAGGCUGUUGUUGGGUUCACAAAAAUGGAAACGGGAACGGGGCCGGUGUCGGAACUCGGGCUGGAGUAGCACCCAAGUCUUUCUUCAUGGCACCCUAUGUGUCUGCCUUGUCGAUCCUCCCUUCCCUCCACGAAUUUGUUGUGCCCCGCGAAGUUGCACCAACAGCCGCUUGUAGCAAAAAAUUUAGGACGCAUGUAGCGAGCAGCCGUUGUCCGCUAGUGCUCCGUGGCAGCCGGUGAUUUUUGGUAAGCAUCUAUCUCCGUGUUUUUAAUUAGGAAAGAUUAACUAUUUAAACAGGAAAUAUCUCACCAACAUGCGUAUUAAAUGGUCUACAUGCAUCCGACUGUGUCCUAUUUUACUUCAUGUGCGUGGAUGACUUUCUAUCAUUUAAUUCACGAUUUACAAAUUUUAAAAAGCUAUAGCUUUCAAACCGCACGUCGAAAUUAAGAUCCGUUUUCACUUUUGGAACCCUCGUGACGUGCUCUUCGAAACUAAAUCCUAUAUGGGCAUGUUUUGAUGAAUUUUUUUGUGCAAUUUAGUCCCUCGUUUUGUGCAACUGCUUAGGAGUCGAUGUGCAACUAGCUGACAGUGGUUGUGCAACUUCCCGCCUACCCGUGAACGUGCAAUUUUUACUGAUCUCACCCCCACCCCAAACUAUUUACUUCUAGUGAGGCCAACUGCGUAGCAGUUGAUGUGCAACUGUCCUCAUGCCCGUGGAUGUGCUUUCACUAUUUGCUGCAUCGGCCAACUGCCUAAUAGUGGAUGUGCAACUUUGGAUACUAUCACGGUCAACUGUCUAAGAGUGAUGUGCAACUUUCCCUAAAUGUGUGGUUUUCCUGCUAGCACCCGGUCCAAACCACCCCUACUAGUGAGAUGUACAACUUUCGCGUUGUGCCUAUAUGCAACUUUUCACUACCCUCAUGAAUGUGGAAUUUUCACCAUCCAAACUACCCCUGCCUGCGAGAGGGGGAGAGUGUGUCCACGUACCCUUGUAGACCGAAAGCGGAAGCGUUUGACAACGGGGUUGAUGUAGUCGAACUUCUUCUCGUUCCGACCGAUCAAAGACCGAACGUACGGCACCUCGGAGUUCUGCACACGUUCAGCUUGAUGACGUCCCUAGAACUCUUGAUCCAGCAAAGUGUCGAGGGGGAGUUCCGUCAGCACGACGGCGUGGUGACGAUGAUGGUGAAGUGAUCCGCGCAGGGCUUCGUCUAAGCACUACGUGAAUAUGACCGGAGGCGUAAACUGUGGAGGGGGGCGCCGCACACGGCUAACAAUGUUUGUUGUGUGUUCUAGCGGUGCCCCCCUCAUAUAUAUAUAGGUUGGAGGGGAGGAGAGGCAGCCAAGGGGGCGCCCCAAUACUUGGGGUCCUCCCAAUUCGGCCUCCCCCCUUUCCUAUUCCUAUUCGGAGUAGGAAGGGAAGAGGGGGAUGGGGGAAUCCUAUUCCCUUUUUCCUUUCCUUCCUCCCCUUUCCUUCUCCAUUUUGGCCAGCCCAUAUGGGGGGGGGGCACCAGCCCCUUUGUGGCUGGUGUGUUUCCCCUCUCGGCCCAUUAGGCCCAUAUAGAUUGCCGAGGGUUGCCCGGAACCCCUUCCGGUGACCCGAUACGUACCCGGUACCCCCAGAACACUUCCGGUGUCCGAAUACUAUCGUCCUAUAUAUGAAUCUUUACCUCUCGACCAUUUCGAGACUCCCCGUCAUGUCCGUGAUCUUAUCCGGGACUCCGAACAACAUUCGGUCACCGAGGGAGUCCAGGAUUACGGGGUCCUCGGACGUCCGGGCUAUGUGACAUGGGCCGGACUGAUGGGUUGUGAAGAUACAAGAUAAAAAGUUUUCCCCCGUGUCCGGAUGGGACUCUCCUUGGCGUGGAAGGCAAGCUUGGUGUGCGAAUAUGAAGAUUCCUUUCUCUGUAAACCGACUCUAUACAACCCUAGCCCGCUCCGAUGUCUAUAUAAACCGGAGGGUUUAGUCCGUAGAGGCAAUCAUAAUCAUACAGGAUAGACAUCUAGGGUUUAGCCAUUACGAUCUCAUGGUAGAUCGACUCUUGUAACUCCUAUACUCAUCAAAGUCAAUCAAGCAGGAAGUAGGGUAUUACCUCCAUCAAGAGGGCCCGAACCUGGGUAAACAUCGUGUCCCCUGCCUCCUGUUACCUUCGAUCCUUAGGCGCAUAGGUCGGGACCCCCUACCCGAGAUCUGCCGGUUUUGACACCAACAUUGGUGCUUUCAUUGAGAGUUCCACUGUGCCGUCGUGAAAAGGCUCGAUGGCUCCGUCGAUCAUCUACAACAACGCUGCCGGGAAGGAGACUUUCCUUCCCGUCCAGAUCUUCGUAUUCGGCGGCUUCGCACUGCGCGCCAACUCGGUUGGCCACUUGGAGCAGAUCGACAGCUACGCCCCUGGUCGCCAGAUCAAUUUUGGAAAUCUAAACUAUGUCGCUGAUAUCCGAGGAGACUUGAUCUUCCAAGGGUUCGCGUCCCCAACCACCCCUCCGGCCUUAGAUCUGGAGCGCGUCACUAGGUCCGAAGACAGGAGUCUAGAGCCCGCCGGACCCUCUGUGGCCUUAGAGCUCAAUACCGGAAAACCGGAGAGAAUAGUGUCUCCGGCAAUCAUUACAAAGCCGGACUCUUCUCCGGACACUAACUCCGUACCCUGGAAGUCCGCGUCAAGCGAGUUCGGCCAGGGACCUUCUGUCCCCAUCCAAACCUCGCUCUUAAACGAGGCUCUGGACUUAAUGUGAUCCCUCGCCAUCACAGAGGGACCGCUUCCGAAUUGCGCCCAACCCGGACUAGGGGCUGAAAACAGGGAAUUUUGCUUCCCACCCGCCACCCACUUCAUAGCCACUGUCGAGGAUCUUACCGACAUGCUCGAUUACGCCUCCGAAGACAUCAACGGUAUGGACGACGUUGCCGGAGAGGAGCAGGCCCAAAACCCGCCGUUCACCGGACGCUGGACGGCCAAUUCCUCAUACGACGUAUACAUGGUGGACACACCUAAGGAAGGCGACGACGAUGGUGAGAAGAACCCAGCCGAGGACGAACCUCCUGAGAUACCACCAAAACACCGAUGUCAGCGGUGCCGCUCUAAAUCGCGUCGUGGAAAAGACAACAAUACCAACACCGGAGACAAUGAUACUCCAGAAAACGCCGAAGACCAAGAAGACCCCAUCGAACCAACAUCCGAACAGGAUGAUCGGGAGGACGGGCGGGUCGACCCAGACGAGCAAGUAGGGAACAAAGACUUGGAGGAUAACAACUAACUCUCCGAGGACAAUGUGAGCCUUGGCAACGAAGAUUUUAUCGUGCCGGAGGAACCCCUCGAACAAGAGCGCUUUAAGCGCCGGCUAAUAGCCACGGCAAGAAGCCUUAGAAAGAAGCAACAGCAGCUUCAAGCUGACCAAUACCUGCUCAAUAACAGAUGGACUAAUGUCCUGGCAGCCGACGAAUACGGCCUCGAGCGCCCAACAAAGAGUUACCCGAAGCGUAAGCUGCUACCCGAAUUCGACGAUGAGGCGCUGGAGCCUAUACCACCCUUGCGUAAUGCCGUGGACGGACCCGAUCGACCACCACGUGGCCGGUUAGAACAUUAACUCAAGCUGAACACCAGCCCGCACUACCGCGCUGCAAAAGCAGAGAGACAAUAGGGAUACACAUAUGACCUACGACAUGACCUGGAAAAUAGAACAUGUCAGACCAGAUCAAUCUACGGAUCGCGGGGGCGUGACCCGGCGCGAGAAGAUGGCUAUCAAGCCUGGCACAACAAGCAUAAUCACGCCCGGGCAGAAAACCGCAUCCGGACUUCGUCCGAACUGCGUCGUGAUGUGGCCCGAUACAGAGGUGCCGCACACCCUCUAUGCUUCACCGAUGAGGUAAUGGAGCACCAGUUCCCAGAAGGGUUUAAACCCGUGAACAUAGAAUCAUACGACGACACAACAGAUCCCGCAGUAUGGAUCGAAGACUUUCUUCUCCACAUUCACAUGGCUCGCGGUGACGAUCUACAUGCCAUCAAAUACCUUCCCCUAAAACUUAAGGGGCCAGCUCGGCACUGGUUAAACAGCCUCCCAGAAAACUCUAUUGGUAGCUGGGAAGUCUUGGAAGACGCAUUCAGAGAUAACUUCCAAGGCACCUAUGUUCGGCCCCCAGACGCCGAUGACCUUAGCCAUAUAAUCCAGCAACCCGGGGAAUCGGCCCGACAGCUCUGGACCAGGUUCUUAAUCAAGAAGAACUAGAUUGUGGAUUGUCCAGACACCGAAGCCCUUGCGGCCUUCAAGCAUAGCGUCCGAGACGAAUGGCUCGCCCGACACCUCAGCCAAGAAAAGCCGAAGUCCAUGGCAGCCCUUACUGCACUUAUGACCCGAUUCUGCGCGGGAGAGGAUAGCUGGCUUGCUCGUAGAAGCAAUAGCACCGGCGACCCCGGAACCUCCAAAACCAAGGAUGGCAAUGGGAAGCCACGACGCGACAAGCACAAGCGUCGAAACAACAAUGAAGGAACGCAAGACAGGGCGGUUAAUGCCGGAUUCAUCGGCUCCAAACCCGGUCAAUGGAAGAAGCCAUUUAAGGCAAACAGAGAUGGCCCAUCCAGCCUAGACAGAAUACUGGAUCGGCCAUGCUAGAUUCACGGCACCCCCGAUAAACCUGCCAAUCAUACCAACAGAAAUUGUUGGGUCUUUAAGCAGGCCGGCAAGCUUAACGCCGAACACAAGAAAAAAGGAUCACCAAGCGACGACGAUGACCAAGAGCCUCGCCAACCGAACACAGGGGGACAGAAGCAAUUUCCCCCCGAAGUAAAAAUAGUGAAUAUGUUAUAUAUCACACAUAUCCCUAAGAGGGAGCGCAAGCGCGCACUACGGGACGUCUACGCUAUGGAGCCGGUCGCCCCAAAAUUCAACCCAUGGUCGGCUUGUCCGAUCACCUUCGACCGAAAGGACCACCCAACCAGUAUCCGUCACGGAGGUUCGGCAGCUCUGGUCCUCGACCCAAUCAUCGAUGGAUUCCAUCUUAUGCGAGUCCUCAUGGAUGGCGGCAACAGUCUCAAUCUACUUUAUCAAGACACUGUCCGCAAAAUGGGCGUUGAUCCGUCAAGAAUCAAGCCCACUAAAACUACCUUCAAAGGAGUAAUACCUGGUGUAGAGGCCUGCUGUACAGGCUCAAUCACGCUGGAGGUCAUCUUCGUUUCGCCAGACAACUUCCGAAGCGAAGACUUGAUCUUCGACAUCGUCCCGUUUCGCAGCGGCUAUCACGCACUGCUUGGACGAACCACUUUCGCCCGCUUCAAUGCGGUCCCGCACUAUGCCUAUUUGAAGCUCAAGAUGCCCGGUCCAUGUGAUGUCAUUACAAUCAAUGGAAACACGGAGCGCUCCCUCCGUACUGAGGAGCAUACCGAGGCCAUUGCAGCCAAAGUACAAAGCGGCCGUGUCAAGCCGCACACCUCAUCGGCUAUUAAGCCACCGGACUUCACCGCGCAAGGCCGGUCAGUUCUGCAUGCCAGCAGUCCGGCAACUUCAGGGCUGGAUUAGCAGCUUCGCCUCCGUCGACCGCCACGUACAUCAGUGAAAUUCAUACCGCACGUGCAUAAUUAUGCACUCAAAAUACCUUGGGCAUCGGCGGGGGCAAUAUACGGACAGUCCUAUAACACGGUUCGACCUUACACGGCCUUCCCCUUUAUUUAAUCAUCUUUUCCUUUUUACCAUAGGUGAAUCAAAACCUACUCGUUCUCCGGACUCACAAGGACUCUCUCCGAGCCCGAUUCCAUAUACAUAGCUGAAGACCAUUCCUCUAAAGGACUCUUCCUUAUUUGGGCGAAAGCGGCGCAGAUGUGCGGCAGGAAGGUGCAAAGCAUUUUGCAGACCACAACUUUACUCAAGAACCUGUAUAGAGCUUUUCCCUUAGCCCUAGACCCCCGGCAUAUAAAAUGGCCCUGGUGAUGGUACCUUCUGUAAGAUUACGUUUUGACGAAUCAGAUUUCAUUGAACCAAAAUUCUUAUUUGGUAUGUUAAGUCAUUUCACGCACGCACCUCGGCAUAAAAUUUCUAGGGGCUCUAAGACAACAUAUGUGUUGUCAAAUAAAAGUCCGAACAGCUUCACAGCAAAAUUCGGCAUCCCGAGUCCGGCAUUAUAUGCAUCAGCUCCGAAUCAUGUCUUUGGUCAAUAGUUGGGUUGCCCGGCUCCUGUGAUUGCUACCUUACGUUCCGUCUGAUCGGCUAGGGUAGUAAAGGGAGAACUACUGUGAUUGUGUUUCUGGUUCGUCCGGUUAAGCACCUCAGUAGAGAAAGCCAAAAACUGACUAUUAUGAUGCGGCGAGAGCUGGUCAGCCACUCGGCGAUUCAUUACAAUCCUUAGCGAUUUUUCCGUAUUACACGAAGACUGUUUCCCGGUCAAACAUGUAGCGCAUCCGCAUCAGGAUAGCCGUGUACAUACCAUGGGCUACCUAUUAGACCCAUUGUCAAACUCCUACAGCUAAGUGAGAGCAAUAAAACCGAAUAGUCUGAUUGCCUGGUUUGCCGCACUGACACCUCCUUCAGGGACCAAGACGUUGGAUUAAGUGUAGUCAUGUGCAAUUCCGAACACCCCGUUGUAUCUACAUAGGGGCUGAAGCCGACGACAGGGAACUCUCAGAUAUAUUAAACGGCCGCACAAGAGGAUAAAACUUUUUCAUCAAGAAAUGAAUAUAUUACAAAAACUUAGUUCAUAAUACAAAUCCCCGGAUAGUUCGGACUCUUUUAUUCGAACACUACGUCCUUAGAGCAUUGGCCCUCUACAAGGCUAGCACCUUUUAGCACGUCUUCAAAAUAGCGCUCCGGUGUGCGGUGGGCCUUGCUUUCAGGAGGGCCCUCAGCUGCCACCUUUUCGGCAUUCAUCUUCACCCAGUGCACCUUGACACGGGCGAACGCCAUACGCGCUCCUUCUAUACAGGACCACCUCUUGACGGCGUCAAUCCGGGGCAGCGCAUCGAUGAGACGCCGCACGAGGCCAAAGUAGCUGUCCGGAAUGGCUUCGGCAGGCCACAACCGGACUAUGAGGUCCAUCAUGGCCGCACUGGACAUCUUAUGCAGCUCCGCCCAUUGUGCCAUCUGGUCAUUUAGCAGUACGGGACGCUCCUACCCCACAAACUGCAACCAGAAGAUCUUCUCUGUCGCAUACCCCUCCUGGGCUUGGAAGAAUUGGACGGCGUCCACGGCACUCUUCAGCAUAAACGUCUAGAAAACUCCACAGUCAAUUAAGCAAGGCAUACUCCGGAUCCCCAAAUUUAGCCUGUAAAAGAAAGGGCUUACCAGCCGCUAUCUGCCCGGCUUGACGGAUUUCCUCACGCGCGGCGCGGGAUUCAGACCGCGCCUCUGAAGCAUCAUGAAGGGCCUUGGCAAGUUCGGUCCCCUUCGUCUUAUUUUCCGAUUCCAAGGACUCGCACUUGGCGGCAGUGUCCUCGAGCUUUUUCUCCAUCUCGGUCACCCGUUCCUCACAAUGGCGCCGAGCGGCCUGUUCUGCCGUUAAAUCCGCAGCCGCCUUAUCAGCAGCUGCCCUGCUUACCCGCGCUUGCUCCUUGGCUUGAGCAAGCUCGCCCCUGAGGGUCUCCACCGCGGUGGCACUAUCUGUACAAACAUGCACAUGGCAGCUUUUCAAAACAACAUGGACAUAAACAGGCAUACAGUAAGAUGUAUAUUAUACCUUGUGCCUGGUCGAGCCGCGUGUUCACAAGGACUAGAUCCUCAUCGGCUCGCUCCAGUUUCCGUUUGAGUUUGGAAAUUUCCGCUGACUGGGCAGUCGCCGCUAACAGAGAAGCCUGUUUUACACCCAAAUAAAAUAGCAUGUUACCACCUGACAACUAAUUAUUGAUCCUCUGCUCGCUUUUUUCAAAUAGCCGAAUAGAGCCUCGGGGGCUAUUAUCUAUAUACAGGCAUAUUUCUCACAAAAAUGAUUAGAAAAACGAAACAUUACAUUGCGUACCUCGAAGCCUGCUAGCAGGCUAGAGAAGGCUUUGAAGGAAAUAUGCCCUAGAGGCAAUAAUAAAGUUAUUAUUUAUUUCCUUAUAUCAUGAUAAAUGUUUAUUAUUCAUGCUAGAAUUGUAUUAACCGGAAACAUGAUACAUGUGUGAAUACAUAGACAAACAGAGUGUCACUAGUAUGCCUCUACUUGACUAGCUCGUUGAUCAAAGAUGGUUAUGUUUCCUAGCCAUAGACAUCGGUUGUCAUUUGAUUAACGGGAUCACAUCAUUAGGAGAACGAUGUGAUUGACUUGACCCAUUCCGUUAGCUUAGCACUCGAUCGUUUAGUAUGUUGCUAUUGCUUUCUUCAUGACUUAUACAUGUUCCUAUGACUAUGAGAUUAUGCAACUCCCGUUUACCGGAGGAACACUUUGUGUGCUACCAAACGUCACAACGUAACUGGGUGAUUAUAAAGGUGCUCUACAGGUGUCUCCGAAGGUACUUGUUGGGUUGGCGUAUUUCGAGAUUAGGAUUUGUCACUCCGAUUGUCGGGGAGGUAUCUCUGGGCCCUCUCAGUAAUGCACAUCACUUAAGCCUUGCAAGCAUUGCAACUAAUGAGUUUGUUGCGAGAUGAUGUAUUACGGAACGAGUAAAGAGACUUGCCGGUAACGAGAUUGAACUAGGUAUUAAGAUACCGACGAUCGAAUCUCGGGCAAGUAACAUACCGAUGACAAAGGGAACAACGUAUGUUGUUAUGCGGUUUGACCGAUAAAAAUCUUCGUAGAAUAUGUGGAAGCCAAUAUGGGCAUGCAGGUCCCGCUAUUGGUUAUUGACCGGAGACGUGUCUCGGUCAUGUCUACAUAGUUCUCGAACCCGUAGGGUCCGCACGCUUAACGUUACGAUGACAGUUUUAUUAUGAGUUUAUGAGUUUUGAUGUACCGAAGGAGUUCGGAGUCGCGGAUGAGAUCAGGGACAUGACGAGGAGUCUCGAAAUGGUCGAGACGUAAAGAUCGAUAUAUUGGACGACUAUAUUCGGACAUCGGAAAGGUUCCGAGUGAUUCGGGUAUUUUUCGGAGUACCGGAGAGUUACGGGAAUUCGUAUUGGGCCUUAAUGGGCCAUACGGGAAAGGAGAGAAAGGCCCCAAAGGGUGGCCGUACCCCUUCCCAUGGACUAGUCCGAAUUGGACUAGGGAGGGGGGCGCCCCCUUCCUUCCUUCUCCUUCUCCCUUCCCUUCUCCUACUCCAACAAGGAAAGGAGGAGUCCUACUCCCGGUGGGAGUAGGACUCCUCCCCUUGGCGCGCCCUCCUCCUAGGCCGGCCGCCUCCCCCUUGCUCCUUUAUAUACGGGGGCAGGGGGGCACCCCAUAGACACAACAAUUGAUCUAUUGAUCUCUUAGCCGUGUGCGGUGCCCCCCUCCACCAUAUUACACCUCGAUAUUAUCGUAGCGGUGCUUAGGCGAAGCCCUGCGUCGGUAGAACAUCAUCAUCGUCACCACGCCGUCGUGCUGACGAAACUCUCCCUCAACACUCGGCUGGAUCGGAGUUCGCGGGACGUCAUCGAGCUGAACGUGUGCUGAACUCGGAGGUGCCGUGCGUUCGGUACUUGAUCGGUCGGAUCGUGAAGACAUACGACUACAUCAACCGCGUUGUGUUAACGCUUCCGCUUUCGGUCUACGAGGGUACGUGGACAACACUCUCCCCUCUCGUUGCUAUGCAUCACCAUGAUCUUGCGUGUGCGUAGGAAAUUUUUGAAAUUACUAUGUUCCCUAACAGUGGUAUCAGAGCCUGGUUUUAUGCGUAGAUGUCAUAUGCACGAGUAGAACACAAGUGAGUUGUGGGCGAUAUAAGUCAUACUGCUUACCAGCAUGUCAUACUUUGGUUCGGCGGUAUUGUUGGAUGAAGCGGCCCGGACCGACAUUACGCGUACGCUUACGUGAGACUGGUUCUUCCGACGUGCUUUGCACAGAGGUGGCUAGCGGGUGUCAGUUUCUCCAACUUUAGUUGAACCGAGUGUGGCUACGCCUGGUCCUUGCGAAGGUUAAAAUAGCACCAACUUGACAAACUAUCGUUGUGGUUUUGAUGCGUAGGUAAGAACGGUUCUUGCUAAGCCCGUAGCAGCCACGUAAAACUUGCAACAACAAAGUAGAGGACGUCUAACUUGUUUUUGCAGGGCAUGUUGUGAUGUGAUAUGGUCAAAGCAUGAUGCUAAAUUUAUUGUAUGAGAUGAUCAUGUUUUGUAACCGAGUUAUCGGCAACUGGCAGGAGCCAUAUGGUUGUCGCUUUAUUGUAUGCAAUGCAAUCGCCCUCUAAUGCUUUACUUUAUCACUAAGCGGCAGCGAUAGUCGUAGAAGCAUAAGAUUGGCGAGACGACAAUGAUGCUACGAUGGAGAUCAAGGUGUCGCGCCGGUGACGAUGGUGAUCAUGACGGCGCUUCGGAGAUGGAGAUCACAAGCACAUGAUGAUGAUGGCCAUAUCAUAUCACUUAUAUUGAUUGCAUGUGAUGUUUAUCUUUUAUGCAUCUUAUCUUGCUUUGAUUGACGGUAGCAUUAUAAGAUGAUCCCUCACUAAAUUAUCAAAGUAUAAGUGUUCUCCCUGAGUAUGCACCGUUGCGAAAGUUCUUCGUGCUGAGACACCACUGAUGAUCGGGUGUGAUAGGCUCUACGUUCAAAUACAACGGGUGCAAAACAGUUGCACACGCGGAAUACUCAGGUUAAACUUGACGAGCAUAGCAUAAAACAGAUAUGGCCUCGGAACACGGAGACCGAAAGGUCGAGCGUGAAUCAUAUAGUAGAUAUGAUCAACAUAGUGAUGUUCACCGUUGAAACUACUCCAUCUCACGUGAUGAUCGGACAUGGUUUAGUUGAUAUGGAUCACGUGAUCACUUAGAGGAUUAGAGGGAUGUCUAUCUAAGUGGGAGUUCUUAAGUAAUAUGAUUAAUUGAACUUGAAUUUAUCAUGAACUUAGUACCUGAUAGUAUCUUGCUUGUCUAUGUUAAUUGUAGAUAGAUGGCCCGUGCUGUUGUUCCAUUGAAUUUUAAUGCGUUCCUUGAGAAAGCAAAGUUGAAAGAUGAUGGUAGCAAUUACACGGACUGGGUCCGUAACUUGAGGAUUAUCCUCAUUGCUGCACAGAAGAAUUACGUCCUGGAAGCACCGCUGGGUGCCAGGCCUGCUGCAGGAGCAACACCAGAUGUUAUGAACGUCUAGCAGAGCAAAGCUGAUGACUACUCGAUAGUUCAGUGUGCCAUGCUUUACGGCUUAGAACCCGGUCUUCAACGACGUUUUGAACGUCAUGGAGCAUAUGAGAUGUUCCAGGAGUUGAAGUUAAUAUUUCAAGCAAAUGCCCGGUAGAGAUAUGAAGUCUCCAAUAAGUUCUAUAGCUGCAAGAUGGAAGAGAAUAGUUCUGUCAGUGAGCAUAUACUCAAAAUGUCUGGGUAUAAUAAUCACUUGAUUCAACUGGGAGUUAAUCUUCCGGAUGAUAGCGUCAUUGACAGAAUUCUUCAAUCACUGCCACCAAGCUACAAGAGCUUCGUGAUGAACUAUAACAUGCAAGGGAUGGAUAAGACGAUUCCCGAGCUCUUCGCAAUGCUAAAGGCUGCAGAGGUAGAAAUCAAAAAGGAGCAUCAAGUGUUGAUGGUCAAUAAGACCACUAGUUUCAAGAAAAAGGGCAAAGGGAAGAAGAAGGGGAACUUCAAGAAAAACAGCAAGCAAGUUGUUGUUCAGGAGAAGAAACCCAAGUCUGGACCUAAGCCUGAGACUGAGUGCUUCUACUGCAAGCAGACUGGUCACUGGAAGCGGAACUUCCCCAAGUAUUUGGCGGAUAAGAAGGAUGGCAAGGUGAACAAAGGUAUAUGUGAUAUACAUGUUAUUGAUGUGUACCUUACUAAUGCUCGCAGUAGCACCUGGGUAUUUGAUACUAGUUCUGUUGCUAAUAUUUGCAACUCGAAACAGGGGUUACGGAUUAAGCGAAGAUUGGCUAAGGACGAGGUGACGAUGCGCGUGGGAAAUGGUUCCAAAGUCGAUGUGAUCGUGGUCGACACGCUACCUCUACAUCUACCUUCGGGAUUAGUUUUAGACCUAAAUAAUUGUUAUUUGGUGCGAGCGUUAAGCAUGAACAUUAUAUCUGGAUCUUGUUUGAUGCGAGACGGUUAUUCAUUUAAAUCAGAGAAUAAUGGUUGUUCUAUUUAUAUGAGUAAUAUCUUUUAUGGUCAUGCACCCUUGAAGAGUGGUCUUUUUUUGUUGAAUCUCGAUAGUAGUGAUACACAUAUUCAUAAUAUUGAAGCCAAAAGAUGCAGAGUUGAUAAUGAUAGUGCAACUUAUUUGUGGCACUGCCGUUUAGGUCAUAUCAGUGUAAAGCGCAUGAAGAAACUCCAUACUGAUGGACUUUUGGAACCACUUGAUUAUGAAUCACUUGGUACUUGCGAACCGUGCCUCAUGGGCAAGAUGACUAAAACACCGUUCUCCGGAACUAUGGAGAGAGCAACAGAUUUGUUGGAAAUCAUACAUACAGAUGUAUGUGGUCCGAUGAAUAUUGAGGCUCGUGGCGGAUAUCGUUAUUUUCUCACCUUCACAGAUGAUUUGAGCAGAUAUGGGUGUAUCUACUUAAUGAAACAUAAGUCUGAAACAUUUGAAAAGUUCAAAGAAUUUCAGAGUGAAGUUGAAAAUCAUCGUAACAAGAAAAUAAAAUUUCUACGAUCUGAUCGUGGAGGAGAAUAUUUGAGUUAUGAGUUUGGUCUUCAUUUGAAACAAUGCGGAAUACUUUCGCAACUCACGCCACCCGGAACACCACAGCGUAAUGGUGUGUCCGAACGUCGUAAUCGUACUUUACUAGAUAUGGUGCGAUCUAUGAUGUCUCUUACUGAUUUACCGCUAUCGUUUUGGGGUUAUGCUUUAGAGACGGCUGCAUUCACGUUAAAUAGGGCACCAUCAAAAUCCGUUGAGACGACGCCUUAUGAACUGUGGUUUGGCAAGAAACCAAAGUUGUCGUUUCUUAAAGUUUGGGGCUGCGAUGCUUAUGUGAAAAAACUUCAACUUAAUAAGCUCGAACCCAAAUCGGAGAAAUGUGUCUUCAUAGGAUACCCAAAGGAAACUGUUGGGUACACCUUCUAUCACAGAUCCGAAGGAAAAACUUUUGUUGCUAAAUUCAGAAUUUUUCUGGAGGAGUUUCUCUCGAAAGAAGUGAGUGGGGGGAAAGUAGAACUUGAUGAGGUAACUGUAUCUGCUCCCUUAUUGGAAAGUAGUUCAUCACAGAAACCGGUUUCUGCGACGCCUACACCAAUUAGUGAGGAAGUUAAUGAUGAUAAUCAUGAAACUUCAGAUCAAGUUAUUACUGAACCUUGUAGGUCAACCAGAGUAAGAUCCGCACCAGAGUGGUACGGUAAUCCUGUUCUGAAGGUUAUGUUACUAGACCAUGACGAACCUACAAACUAUGAAGAAGCGAUGGUGAGCCCAGAUUCCGCAAAAUGGCUAGAGGCCAUGAAAUCCGAGAUGGGAUCCAUGUAUGAGAACAAAGUAUGGACUUUGGUUGACUUGCCCGAUGAUCGGCAAGCCAUUGAAAAUAAAUGGAUCUUCAAGAAGAAGACUGACGCUGACGGCAAUGUUACUGUCUAUAAAGCUCAACUUAUUGCGAAAGGUUUUCGACAAAUUCAAGGGAUUGACUACGAUGAGACCUUCUCACCCGUAGCGAUGCUUAAGUCUGUCCGAAUCAUGUUAGCAAUUGCCGCAUUUUAUGAUUAUGAAAUUUGGCAAAUGGAUGUCAAAACUGCAUUCCUGAAUGGAUUUCUGGAAGAAGAAUUGUAUAUGAUGCAACCAGAAGGUUUUGUCGAUCCAAAGGGAGCUAACAAAGUGUGCAAGCUCCAGCGAUCCAUUUAUGGACUCGUGCAAGCCUCUCGGAGUUGGAAUAAACGCUUUGAUAGUGUGAUCAAAGCAUUUGGUUUUGUACAGACUUUUGGAGAAGCCUGUAUUUACAAGAAAGUGAGUGGGAGCUCUGUAGCUUUUCUGAUAUUAUAUGUGGAUGACAUAUUGCUGAUUGGAAAUGAUAUAGAAUUUCUGGAUAGCAAAAAGGGAUACUUGAAUAAGAGUUUUUCAAUGAAAGACCUCGGUGAAGCUGCGUAUAUAUUGGGCAUCAAGAUCUAUAGAGAUAGAUCAAGACGCUUAAUUGGACUUUCACAAAGCACAUACCUUGACAAAGUUUUGAAGAAGUUCAAAAUGGAUCAAGCAAAGAAAGGGUUCUUGCCUGUGUUACAGGGUGUGAAGUUGAGUAAGACUCAAUGCCCGACCACUGCAGAAGAUAGAGAGAAGAUGAAAGAUGUCCCCUAUGCUUCAGCCAUAGGCUCUAUCAUGUAUGCAAUGCUGUGUACCAGACCUGAUGUAUGCCUUGCUAUAAGUCUAGCAGGAAGGUACCAAAGUAAUCCAGGAGUGGAUCACUGGACAGCGGUCAAGAACAUCCUGAAAUACCUGAAAAGGACUAAGGAUAUGUUUCUCGUUUAUGGAGGUGACAAAGAGCUCAUCGUAAAUGGUUACGUCGAUGCAAGCUUUGACACUGAUCCGGACGAUUCUAAAUCGCAAACCGGAUACGUGUUUACAUUGAACGGCGGAGCUGUCAGUUGGUGCAGUUCUAAACAAAGCGUCGUGACGGGAUCUAAAUGUGAAGCGGAGUACAUAGCUGCUUCGGAAGCAGCAAAUGAAGGAGUCUGGAUGAAGGAGUUCAUAACCGAUCUAGGUGUCAUACCUAGUGCAUCGGGUCCAAUGAAAAUCUUUUGUGACAAUACUGGUGCAAUUGCAUUAGCAAAGGAAUCCAGAUUUCACAAGAGAACAAGGCACAUCAAAAGACGCUUCAAUUCCAUCCGGGAUUUAGUCCAGGUGGGAGACAUAGAAAUUUGCAAGAUACAUACGGAUCUGAAUGUCGCAGACACGUUGACUAAGCCUCUUCCACGAGCAAAACAUGAUCAACACCAAGGCUCCAUGGGUGUAAGAAUCAUUACUGUGUAAUCUAGAUUAUUGACUCUAGUGCAAGUGGGAGACUGAAGGAAAUAUGCCCUAGAGGCAAUAAUAAAGUUAUUAUUUAUUUCGUUAUAUCAUGAUAAAUGUUUAUUAUUCAUGCUAGAAUUGUAUUAACCGGAAACAUGAUACAUGUGUGAAUACAUAGACAAACAGAGUGUCACUAGUAUGCCUCUACUUGACUAGCUCGUUGAUCAAAGAAGGUUAUGUUUUCUGGCCAUAGACAUGAGUUGUCAUUUGAUUAACGGGAUCACAUCAUUAGGAGAAUGAUGUGAUUGAUUUGACCCAUUCCGUUAGCUUAGCACUCGAUCGUUUAGUAUGUUGCUAUUGCUUUCUUCAUGACUUAUACAUGUUCCUAUGACUAUGAGAUUAUGCAACUCUCGUUUACCGGAGGAACACUUUGUGUGCUACCAAACGUCACAACGUAACUGGGUGAUUAUAAAGGUGCUCUACAGGUGUCUCCGAAGGUACUUGUUGGGUUGGCGUAUUUCGAGAUUAGGAUUUGUCACUCCGAUUGUCGGAGAGGUAUCUCUGGGCCCUCUCAGUAAUGCACAUCACUUAAGCCUUGCAAGCAUUGCAACUAAUGAGUUUGUUGCGAGAUGAUGUAUUACGGAACGAGUAAAGAGACUUGCCGGUAACGAGAUUGAACUAGGUAUUAAGAUACCGACGAUCGAAUCUCGGGCAAGUAACAUACCGAUGACAAAGGGAACAACGUAUGUUGUUAUGCGGUUUGACCGAUAAAGAUCUUCGUAGAAUAUGUGGGAGCUAAUAUGGGCAUCCAGGUCCCGCUAUUGGUUAUUGACCGGAGACGUGUCUCGGUCAUGUCUACAUAGUUCUCGAACCCGUUGGGUCCGCACGCUUAACGUUACGAUGACAGUUUUAUUAUGAGUUUAUGAGUUUUUAUGUACCGAAGGAGUUCGGAGUCCCGGAUGAGAUCGGGGACAUGACGAGGAGUCUCGAAAUGGUCGAGACGUAAAGAUCGAUAUAUUGGACGACUAUAUUCGGACAUCGGAAAGGUUCCGAGUGAUUCGGGUAUUUUUCGGAGUACCGGAGAGUUACGGGAAUUCGUAUUGGGCCUUAAUGGGCCAUACGGGAAAGGAGAGAAAGGCCCCAAAGGGUGGCCGCACCCCUCCCCAUGGACUAGUCCGAAUUGGACUAGGGAGGGGGGGGCGCCCCCUUCCUUCCUUCUCCUUCUCCCUUCCCUUCUCCUACUCCAACAAGGAAAGGAGGAGUCCUACUCCCGCUGGGAGUAGGACUCCCCCCCUUGGCGCGCCCUCCUCCUAGGCCGGCCGCCUCCCCCCUUGCUCCUUUAUAUACGGGUGCAGGGGGCACCCCAUAGACACAACAAUUGAUCUAUUGAUCUCUUAGCCGUGUGCGGUGCCCCCCUCCACCAUAUUACACCUCGAUAUUAUCGUAGCGGUGCUUAGGCGAAGCCCUGCGUCGGUAGAACAUCAUCAUCGUCACCACGCCGUCGUGCUGACGAAACUCUCCCUCAACACUCGGCUGGAUCGGAGUUCGAGGGACGUCAUCGAGCUGAACGUGUGCUGAACUCGGAGGUGCCGUGCGUUCGGUACUUGAUCGGUCGGAUCGUGAAGACGUACGACUACAUCAACCGCAUUGUGUUAACGCUUCCGCUUUCGGUCUACGAGGGUACGUGGACAACACUCUCCCCUCUCGUUGCUAUGCAUCACCAUGAUCUUGCGUGUGCGUAGGAAAUUUUUGAAAUUACUACGUUCCCUAACAGGCUUUGUUCAGCCCUCUCUUGGCGGACUGAAUCUUCUCAGACACCAUACCCAUCAGGAUGCGGUGCUCGUCCAGGACGGAUGCACCUUGAAGUACAUCCGCCAUGGUAUCCGGCGCCUCCGGUUUAGCGAAAGUCGCAGUUCUCGCUGGAGGGGGUCGCUCGUCAGACUUCGGAGCCUUAUGGGUCUCCGGAGUAGUAUUCGGCUGGGGGACGGAUUGAAAGGGGCCCCCGUCCCCGGUCUUCGGAGCGGCCGUACCCCCCAAGCCUUCGGCGGCCGAGGUAUUGCCCUUCGGCGCCGUUACAUUGCCCGCCCGUAUCUCUUCAAGGCCCGGGAAGGGCCUACGGACGACACCUCGGCAUCAUCCGCUUUAGGCGGUGGGGAAGCUAGAGGAGGCGACUCGCUCUCCAUCAUCUCUGGCGGCAGAUCCCCUGAGGAUGAGGAUAGCUGGGGGAGAUUGCGCGCCGGACUAAGAGAUAGAACUUAGAGUUAUUAUCACAUUGCAUAAAGGAUUGAAUGAGUGUGAUAAAUCCCGGACUACUUAUGAGUCGGCCUGGGGCUUAGUCCGGCGACGAUGCUUUGGGAUGACCUCGGCGUCUGACUCCGAGUCAUCGGGGAGGGUAAUUUUGUCCCUCUUGGACACUUCGGCUUUUAGGUCUUCAGAGGCCACCCUCUUCUUGCCCUUGCGGGGAGGAUCUUCUUCUUCCUCCUCCUCUUCGUCGUCCUCGUGAGAGGACUGGGCAUCAACUUCUCCGGACACUGUGUCCAAAGUGCCCUCUUCGUUCUUUCUCUUCUUCUUCUUGUCCCUCUUGGCCGGCGCCUGGUAUGGUGCCAGGACUAGCAUCCUCAUUAGUAAAGGACUGGCCGGGUCUUCGGGAAGUGGAGCCGGACAUCGAAUUUGCUCCGCCUUCUUAGUCCAGACCUGUUUGGGGAGGGACUCCUCAAUACUUCUCUAUUGGGUUAACAAAGUCAAUGGGUGUUCGGAGGUUUAUGAACUUACCUCGGAGGCCGGAUGGUUGCAACUGAUGCCGGUGUCGUCUGAGGAAUUUGGCCACAAUUUCUGCUUCUUAAAAAGCAGCUUCCAGAUCCCCUUGUGUGUUGUGCCGUAGAACCGUUGUAGGGUCCGCGGACCUUCCGGAUUAAACUCCCACAUUUGGAGGGGUCGCCGCUGGCAGGGAAGUACCCGGCGGAUUAGCAUCACUUGGAUUACAUCAGCGAGGGUAAUGUUCUUCUCUAUCAUGCUCUUGACGCGUUUCUGCAAACGCAGCACCUCAGGGACCGACCCCUAGUCCGGACCUUUAUCGGUCCAGGAUGUGAGCCUUAGCGGGGGUCCGGAUCUAAAGGCCAGGGCGGUCGCCCACUUGGAGCCGUGGGGUUCUGUGAUAUAGAAUCAUUCUUGUUGCCAUAUCUUGAUGGUGUCCACAAAUACUCCCUUUGGCCAAUUAACUUUGGGGAGCUUGCUCACCAUGGCUCCACCACAGUCCGCGUGUUGCCCGUCGACCACCUUCGGCUUCACAUUAAAAAUCUUGAGCCAUAGGCCGAAGUGCGGUGGGACACGGAGGAAGGCCUCAUACACGACGAUAAACGCCGAUAUGUGGAGGAAUGAAUUUGGGGCCAGAUCGUGAAAAUCCAGCCCGUAGUAGAACAUGAGGCCCCUUACAAAGGGGUGAAGGGCAAAUCCGAGUCCACGGAGGAAGUGGGGGAUGAACACCACCCUUUCGCGGGGCUCCGGAGUGGGGAUAACCUGCUCCGGGUCGGGAAGCCUGUGCUUGAUUUCUGCGGUUAGGUACCCCGCUUCCCGCAGCUCCUUAAUGUUCUCCUCCGUAACGGAGGAGGCCAUCCACUUGCCUUGAGAGCCGGCCAGGGUCGAAGGAGUUGCGGAAGGGAGGAAGGCUUGAAACUUGAGCGCUGGAGCUUGAGGACGGAUGGGCUGAGGAAGAGGAAGGCGUGGGGUAAAGAGGGGAAACCUUAUCUCUUUAUAAAGGCAGUGAAUAUCAUGCGUCCCCCACGAGCCUUAAAACUCGCCUGUUCCCAAGGGUUCGUGCGAAACUGCGCGGUUGGGUUUCCCAAACCCGUGUUGAUGAGAAUCCCAUAAUAAGGGGCACGAUCUCUGCUUUGACAAGACAUGUCGUCAGUGGUUGCGUGUCGAAAUGCGAAACGGGAGGCCGAAAAACGGUUUAAAAUAAUAAAGUGGACGGACGUAACGUCUCACUAGUAAAACCUUCAAAAGAUAGAACUUAUUUGUAUUCGGCCCCUGUGAUUCAGAGGUAUGACUAUUGUACAGAGUCGGAUAUAGUACUGACGAUCAACUACUUUGAAGUAUUCGGAGGAGGAACCCUCCUUGCAAUGUCGAAGACAAUCUGCGCGCCAAACACAUCGUCAUUGAAGACUGGUUCAGGGGCUACUGAGGGAGUCCAGGAUUACGGGGUCCUUAGACGUCCGGGCUAUGUGACGUGGGCCGGACUGAUGGGCUGUGAAGAUACAAGAUAAAAAGCUUUCCCCCGUGUCCGAAUGGGACUCUCCUUGGCGUGGAAGGCAAGCUUGGCGUGUGAAUAUGAAGAUUCCUUUCUCUGUAAACCGACUCUACACAACCCUAUCCCCCUCCGGUGUCUAUAUAAACCGGAGGGUUUAGUCCGUAGAGGCAAUCAUAAUCAUACACGCUAGACAUCUAGGGUUUAGCCAUUACGAUCUCGUGGUAGAUCGACUCUUGUAACCCCUAUACUCAUCAAAGGCAAUCAAGCAGGAAGUAGGGUAAACAUCGUGUCCCCUGCCUCCUGUUUCCUUCGAUCCUUAGACGCACAGUUCGGGACCCCCUACCCGAGAUAUGCCAGUUUUGACACCGACAGUCACCAAAUCACAUAACUCAUAUAAUACAAAAUCGUCAUUGAACGUUAAGCGUGUGGACCCUACGGGUUCGAGAACUAUGUAGACAUGACCGAGACACCUCUUCGAUCAAUAACCAAUAGCGGAACCUGGAUGCUCAUAUUGGUUCCUGCAUAUUCUACGAAGAUCUUUGUCGGUCAAACCGUAAUGACAACAUAGGUUAUUCCCUUUGUCAUCGGUAUGUUACUUGCCCAAGAUUCGAUCGUCGGUAUCUUCAUACCUAGUUCAAUCUUGUUAUCAGCAAGUCUCUUUACUCGUUCCGUGAUGCAUCAUCCCGCAACUAACUCAUUAUUCACAUUGCUUGCAAGGCUUAUGAUGAUGUGCAUUACCGAGAAGGCCCAGAGAUACCUCUCCGAUACUCGGAGUGACAAAUCCUAAUCUUUAUCUAUGCCAACCCAACAAACACCUUCGGAGAUACCUGUAGAGCAUCUUUAUAAUCACCCAGUUACGUUGUGACGUUUGAUAGCACACAAGGUAUUCCUCCGAUAUCCGGAAGUUGCAUAAUCUCAUAGUCAAAAGAAUAUGUAUAUGACAUGAAAAAGCAAUAGCAAUAAAACUGAACGAUCAACAUGCUAAGCUAACGGCUGGGUCUUGUCCAUCACGUCAUUCUUUUAAUGAUGUGAUCUCGUUCAUCAAAUGACAACACAUGUCUAUGGUUAGGAAACUUAACCAUCUUUGAUUAACACUACUAGGAAAAACACUACCAGUAGCAUGGUUUUUUUGCAUACCAGUAGCAUGGGUUCUCGCGCUACUGCUAUGGCGCUACAGCUAAUUUUUAGCAGUAGCACGUUUUUUACCCCACGCUACAGCUAAAAAGUUAGUAGUAGCGCGUGUGCACCCGCGCUACUACUAACCUAAAACCCACGCUAGUACUAACCUAACUACUAGUAGCCCUCACUUUUGACCCACGCUACUACUAACAAUUUAGGAAUUAAAAAAAAUAAAAAUUAGAUGUAGUACUCAUGAAUGGUAAUACGUCCAUCAUUUUAAGGUGGGUACCUUCCCUAGUGGCCACCAACCUAAACAGACCACCUCUCUAGAUGUAUCUACAAGGCUAGGAGUUCAGACGCCGCUGGACACGAAUCCUCCCUCUCGCGGACGGUGGCGUCGAGGUCCUCCACAUCAGCGACUUCCGGCGUCGAAAUCACCUGGACGAUCAUCUGUGCGACGUGGCCACCGGGCUUCACGGCGAAGUCCGCCUCUGAGUGGUUGAAGAGCACAGCGCCACCGGGCCACGCUUGUCAGCGUCGAUCACCUCUGCGCCCACGUCGGGAAAGUGAAAACUUGUUAGUACGCAAAUUGCAGCAGUUCAACGAAAUAGUACUAUUAACAGUGUGCUGCAAGAAUAAGAAAGCUAACAUUAACAGUCAAACAUCACUUUGGUUGUUAAAAAUAUCAUUCAUUCAUCAUAUAACAUUAUUUUUUGUUGUCAAAUCCUGUACACCAAAUUCACAUUUACAAGAAGUCAACUUCUCAUUUCUAAAUGGCUGAAAAGUGAUCUAUUUGGUAACAACAAAUGCCAGCAGUCAAAUUCAUAUUGGCAAAGAUCGGACCAUAAGAAUCUAAGACAAACAUACAAGCACUGAAGUAUAUGGGGCUUCCUUCAAAAGUUCAGUCAACCCUUCAUAUGAAUCCGACCAAAUCUAAUAACAUAAAAGGUUUUGAGUAGAGAAGGCACCUUUGGGAAUGAUAACUUUGGUGGAGCUUCGACAACUUCACCAAAUUUAACCUUUUUACGUCCAGGGAAUUCAAGAUGAGUCUCGACCUUACCAGCCUUGCACUUCUUUUUCUUCUCGUCCAGAUGUCUGAAACCAAUGAUACAACAUACUUUGUUAUCAUACAUUGCCAUGAGUGAAUGUGGAAGUUCUCUUAGAAUAUUUUGUCCUAGUUCAAAAAUAAAAGCUGAAGCAAGAUACAUGGUUUAUUCUUUACACGAGGCAACAUUGGAUCCAAAUGAAUUGAUGCAAAAGCUACACAAUUAGAGUCAAGCAAACCAAGACAGAUCAAAUGGUUAGACAACUUACUUCACUUUCUGCUUCUUCGAAACCAAGACAUUCGCCUCGAGUUCCUUGAAAAAUAUUCUCAAUAGGAUUUCAAAAACCGCCGUCGAAUACACCAAGAUACUCUAUAACAGAAUUACUAAUAACAGCUAUAGAAUCGUACAAUAUAUUAUAUGUACAAAAUAGACACUCCAAGAUACCAUGUCAAAAAAAUGGCAGGGUCAAAGUUCCAUGACAUAUAGAACAUCCACAAAGUACAUUUUCUUUAAAGUCAUUCUUUUCUACAGCCCAUAAAAGCUGUCACUCAAGGAGCGACAUGUUUUUUAUUACAAAAAUUCACCACAUUCUGAUGAACAUGGAAAAGCAAGCUAGAGUUAGCAGACCAAAAUUAAGGUUCAAAAUGUAAUGCUACAGAUAUCCAAUAUUCACAACUAGUACUUUCAGGCGGCGUGUCAAAUCACCCUGUACAACAAUCAUUAGGCAGAUCGCACCAUCUUCUUCAAGUGGAAAGUGUCAACAGACCAUAAGAAGAUUAACAAACAAAAUGCAAAGAGAUGCUCUUACCCUUUUAGGUAUUGAUGUAGUUCCAGCUAGCAUACUCAGUCCUGAUGCUGAUAUGGCUGUAGACGAACGGACAACCUAUACAAAAUUAAAAUAUUAGACGCAAUAGACCAGGCCAAAUGUGUUGUAAAAAUAUUAAAAUAAAACUGACCUUAGGUGGAUCUGCUCUAAGGUGAUUGAGCUACAGGAGACACGGGUUCCGAACCUGACGGCAAAGAAGCGGUCUGUAGUAAGAAAGAGAAAAAGGUCAGCCUGUGAAGAUCAAAACUACAUUGAAACUGGAAAAAGGGGUGAAUGAAGUUACCCUGGUAAUUCCUUCUGAAGACUCGAUUGCAGGGAGAGGAGUUGAUGCUGUGACCUGAAAAAUGAUUUUGUUUACGAGAUUAGGAUUCACAGAGAACAUGACAUUCGAACCAACAGGCCUCAUGCCAUAGACGCAUCAUGAUAAUAGCCACAAUAAAGCAAGCACACUAUAGCGAAUAAGGUACGAGAUAUUCUCCGAACAUGCCUUAAGAGUAUCGGCUUUGGACUCCGAUCCAAUCUUUUACUGAACUCACAUAACUCAUGUAUUACUCGUGUUGUGUGAUCCUAAGAUAUUUCAGUCAAAAGGGUUAGCAACACAUAAUCUCUAUAGAAAAACAAACUGUGGGCUAGGAAUUUCUACUUACUUGAGUAUAUGCAAGGCGUCCAAGCUUUGUUUCCUGCAAAACAGUAAGAGAUUUAGUUUGUACUUACUACUAGAAGUCCUACUCUAAGGGGAAGAGAUUAUAUUGAACACAAAAAUAGAAGUGUGUGCAGUGCAAGCCUGAAAGGUAUUACUCCACUACUUACCAGAGUGCGGACAACAUGGUGAACUGAUUGUAUUUCCUCCUGAAAGGCACUUAGAUCUCCAUGUAUAACUGUAACUUGUGAAAUACGUAUUAUUUUUGCAUCAGCAUCUUUUAAAAUACACUAAUGCCUGGAAACAAUAAAUAUGCGGACAACAUGGAAACCGAGAGAGAGGGAGAGGGAGGAGACCUUGAGAUGGUCCAUCCAUGGAGGCGGCGGUGGGGUCGGAGCUCCAUGGAGGGGGAGUCCCGAGAAGAGGUACGCGGGGGAGGUUGCAUGGUGGCGACCCCGUCAAUCCUCGUCUCCCUGCAGCGGCGGCGGCGGUGGUUGCGGAGAAGGAGCGCGGCGUCCCGAGAAGAAGUAGACGGGGUGAGCUCGAUGGUGGCUGCCCCGUCAAUCACCUCCUCCCUGCGGCGACGGUGGUUGUGGGGAAGGAGCUGACCUUGGCGGCCCAGCUCGACGGCGGCGCGGAUCCAGGAGCCCCCGAUGUGGCCGCCGCCAGGGAGAGAAGGAGGGGGGAGAGGAUGGGGGCGUCGGCGUCGGCGGUGGGUGCGGCUGUGGAUGAGAGAUCGCCGUCCGCGGUGGGUGGGUGGCCCGCGGUGGAGGGGAUCUGGAUCGGGGUUUGGGUGAUUUUAUUUUUUAUUUUUUUGAGAUAAACGGGGGCGCGGGUGGACGGUGGGGGUGGGACAGUUGGUGGGGUGGGGGCGGGCAUAUACUAGUAGCGCGGUGGUCUCACCUGCGCUACAGCUAUCCACAUAGUAGUAGCGCAGGUUUUAGAACCCGCGCUAUUACUAUGGUCUCUUUGGAGGCACGGUUAGAGAUAUUUACUAGUAGCGUGUUUUUGGCAACGCGCUAGUAGUAAGUAGCAGUAGCGCGGGGCAAUAUAGCGCGCUACUAGUAAGCGUCUGUCUAUAAGUUUUUCCCUAGUAGAGGCUUACUAGGAACACGGUGUUUUAUCUAUGUAUCCACACAUGUUCAAAUUUCCGGUUAAUACAAUUCUAGCAUGAAUAAUAAACAUUUAUCAUGAUACGAGGAAAUAUAAAAUAACAACUUUAUUAUUGCCUCUAGGGCAUAUUUCCUUCAGUGUCGGGGGUGUCGUGCGACAUAUGCCAAAGGAUGGCUUAUCAUGGUGGGGGACAAAAGUACGUCGCCGGUGCCUGGAAACGGGAUGAGGCAUAAACAUGUAUGCCGACGCAUCUUACCCAGGUUCGGGGCUCUCCUAGGAGAUAGCACCCCUAGUCCUGCUCUGCGUGGUCUCCGCAUGAUCAAUAUGUCAACAAGGUGGCUACUAAUACGUCUCCAACGUAUCUACUUUUCCAAACACUUUUGCCCUUGUUUUGGACUCUAACUUCCAUGAUUUGAUCAGAACUAACCCGGGCUGACGCUAUUUUCAGCAGAGUUGCCAUGGUGUUAUUUUUGUGCAGAAAUAAAAGUUCUCGGAAUGACAUGAAACUUCACGGAGAAUAUUUUUGGAAUAUAUAAAAAAUACUGGCAAAAGAAUCAGCACCAGGGGGCCCACACCCUGUCCACGAGGGUGGAGGGCGCGUCCAUCCCCCGGGGCGCGCCCCCUGCCUCGUGGGCCCCCGAGGCUCCACCGACCUCAACUCCAACUCUAUAUAUUCACGUUCGAGGAGAAAAAAAAUCAAAGAGAAGGAUUCAUCGCGUUUUACGACACAGAGCCGCCGCCAAGCCCUAAUCUCUCUCGGGAGGGCUGAUCUGGAGUCCGUUCGGGGCUCCGGAGAGGGGAGUCCAUCGUCGUCGUCAUCAUCAACCUUCCUUCAUCACCAAUAUCAUGAUGCGCACCGCCGUGCGUGAGUAAUUCCAUCAUAGGCUUGCUGGACGGUGAUGGGUUGGAUGAGAUUUAUCGUGUAAUCGAGUUAGUUUUGUUAGGGUUUGAUCCCUAGUAUCCAUUAUGUUCUGAGAUUGAUGUUGCUAUGACUUUGCUAUGCUUAAUGCUUGUCACUAGGGCCCGAGUGCCAUGAUUUCAGAUCUGAACCUAUUAUGUUUUCAUGAAUAUAUGUGAGUUCUUGAUCCUAUCUUGCAAGUCAAUAGUCACCUACUAUGUGUUAUGAUCCGGUAACCCCGAAGUGACAAUAAUCGGGACCACUCCUGAUGAUAAUCGUAGUUUGAGGAGUUCAUGUAUUCACUAAGUGUUAAUGCUUUGGUCCAGUACUCUAUUAAAAGGAGGCCUUAAUAUCCCUUAGUUUCCAAUAGGACCCCGCAACCAUGGGAGGGUAGGACAAAAGAUGUCAUGCAAGUUCUUUUCCAUAAGCACGUAUGACUAUAUUCGGAAUACAUGCCUACAUUACAUUGAUGAAUUGGAGCUAGUUCUGUGUCACCCUAUGUUAUAACUGUUGUAUGAGGAAUCGCAUCUGACAUAAUUAUCCAUCACUGAUCCAAUGCCUACGAGCUUUUCACAUAUUGAUCUUUGCUUAGUUACUUUGCCGUUGCCACUGUUAUAAUUACUACAAAGCUGCUACUGUUACCUUUGCCACUGUUACCUUUACUUCCAUACUACUUUGCUAAUAAAUACUUUGCUGCAGAUAUUAAGUUUUCCAGGUGUGGUUGAAUUGACAACUCAAAUGCUAAUACUUGAGAAUAUUCUUUGGCUCCCCUUGUGUCGAAUCAAUAAAUUUGGGUUGAAUACUCUACCCUCGAAAACUGUUGUGAUCCCCUAUACUUGUGGGUUAUCAAGACUAUUUUCAGGCGCCGUUGCCGGGGAGCAUAGCUCUAUUCUUUGAGUCACUUUGGAUUUAUAUCGAUUGAUCACAAUGAGGAACUUGAAAGAUGAAAAAACCAAGAUUUAUCCCUCAACUACGAGGGGAGGUAAAAAUCUGCCAUCUAGCUUUGCACUUGAUUCACCUUCUGUUAUGAGUAAACUUGCGACACCUACUCCUGCUAUUGAUUCUGAUAUGUCGCAUGUUAUUGAUGAUGCCACUUCUGCUUUGCAUGAUACUUAUGAUGAAACUACUUCUAUGCUUGAUAAUACUGUGCCACUAGGUGAAUUUCUUGAUGAACAACUUGCUAGGGUUAGAGAGAAUGAAAUUAUUGAGACUAAUAAUACUGAUGAAAGUGAUGAUGAAGAUUCUCCCCCUAGAUAUGAAUUACCUGAUGUGCCUGUGGGUUAUGUUAUGGAUGAAGAAACUGCUAGACUUUUUUGCUUGCAAAGAUAGAUAUGAUCUUAAGAAACUGUUAGCUAAGAUGAAAGAAAAGUCUUUAAACGCUAGAAUGAAAUAUGACCCUGCUUUUGCUACUUCACCUAUCUGUAUUUCUGAUAAGGAUUAUGAUUUCUCUAUCGACCCUGAGUUAAUUACUUUGGUUGAAUCUGAUCCUUUUUAUGGCUAUGAAUCUGAAACUUUUGUGGCACAUCUUACUAAAUUGAAUGAUAUAGCCACCCUAUUUACUAAUGAGGAAAAAAUUUGUUACUACUAUAUCCUUAAGUUAUUUCCGUUCUCAUUAAAGGGUGAUGCUAAAGCAUGGUUUAAUUCUCUUGAUCCUGGUUGUGUGCGUAGUCCCCAGAAUAUGAUUUAUUACUUCUCUGCUAAAUAUUUCCCCACUCAUAAGAAACAAGCUGCCUUAAGGGAAAUAUAUAAUUUUGUGCAAAUUGAAGAAGAGAUUCUCCCACAAGCUUGGGGGAGGCUUCUCUGAUUACUUAAUGCUUUGCCUGAUCAUCCUCUCAAGAAAAAUGAAAUACUUGAUAUCUUUUAUAAUGGACUAACCGACGCUUCCAGAGACCACCUGGAUAGUUGUGCUAGUUGUGUUUUCAGGGAAAGAACUGUGGAUCAAGCUGAAUUGCUAUUAAAUAAUAUGUUGAGUAAUGAUAAUAAAUGGACACUUCCUGAACCAACUCCUAAACCAACUCCGAAGAAAAGGGGUAUUCUAUUUCUCAGUCCUGAAGAUAUGCAAGAGGCAAAGAAAUCUAUGAAAGAAAAAGGUAUUAAAGCUGAAGAUGUUAAGAAUUUACCACCUAUUGAAGAAAUGCAUGGUCUUGAUAACCCGACACAGGUAGUAAAGGUAAAUUCUCUCCAUAGAUUUGAUGAAGGUGAUAUUCCUUGUUAUAAGUCUGCUAGCCAAUGCUUGGGUGAGUUUGAUAAUUUUAUUGUUAAACAAGAAAAUUUCAAUGCUUAUGUUGGUAGACAAUUGAAACGUAAUGCUUAUAUGAUUGAACACAUGAGUGAUUAUAUGUCUAGAGUUAAAGGUGAACUUAAACUUAUUAGUAAACAUGCUUCUAUGGUUACCACUCAAGUAGAACAAGUGCUUAAAGCUCAGAAUGAUUUGCUCAAUGAAUUAAAUAAUAAGAAAAGUGAUAAUGUUGUUAGAGUUAUGACUAGAGGGGGUAAAAUGACUCAGGAACCUUUGUAUCCUAAGGGCCACCCUAAGAGAGUCGAGUAAGAUUCUCAUAGAACUAAUGUUGAUGCACCUAGUUCUUCUAAGAAGAAGAAAAAGAAAAAGAAAAAUGAUAGGACUUUGCAUGCUUCUAGUGAACCUGUUGCUGACACACCUGAGAAUCCCAAUGAUAUUUCUAGUUCUGAUGCUGAAACACAACUUGGUAAUGAACAUGAACCUAGUGAUAUAUUAAUGAUGAUGCUCAACCUAGCAAUAACAAUGAUGUAGAGAUUGAACCUGCUGUUGAUCUUGAUAACCCACAAUCAAAGAAUCAACGUUAUGAUAAGAGAGACUUCGUUGCUAGGAAGCACGGUAAAGAAAGAGAACCAUGGGUUCAGAAACCCAUGCCUUUUCCUCCUAAACCAUCCAAGAAAAAGGAUGACGAGGAUUUUGAGCGCUUUGCUGAAAUGAUUAGACCUAUCUUUUUGCGUAUGCGUUUGACUGAUAUGCUUAAAAUGAAUCCUUAUGCUAAGUACAUGAAAGAUAUUGUUACAAAUAAAGAAAAGAUACCGAAAGCUGAAAUUUCCACCAUGCUUGCUAAUUAUACUUUUAAGGGUGGAAUACCAAAGAAACUUGGAGAUCCAGGAGUACUAACUAUACCAUGCUCCAUUAAAAGAAACUAUGUUAAAACUGCUUUAUGUGAUCUUGGAGCCGGUGUUAGUGUUAUGCCUCUCUCUUUAUAUCGUAGACUUGAUUUGAAUAAGUUGACACCUACUGAAAUAUCUUUGCAAAUGGCCGAUAAAUCAACUGCUAUACCUGUCGGUAUUUGUGAGGAUGUGCCUGUUGUGGUUGCAAACGUUACUAUCUUAACGGACUUUGUUAUUCUUGAUAUUCCCGAGGACGAUAGUAUGUCGAUUAUCCUUGGUAGACCCUUUUUCAAUACUGCAGGGGAUGUUAUUGAUUGCAACAAAGGCAAUGUCACUUUUCCUGUUAAUGGUAAUGAGCAUACAGUACACUUUCCGAGGAAACAACCUCAAGUCCAUAGUAUCAAUUUUAUUGGAAAAUUUUCAACGAUUAUUAUUGGAGGUUUUGAAUUUCCUCUUCCUAUUGUCAAGAAGAAAUAUGAUAUUCUUAUUAUUGGGGACGUGCAUAUCCCCGUUGAGGUAACUUAGUGUUAUUCGAAAAUUCUCCAGUUUCAUGCAAUUCGUAAAGAGUUUGUUAACAAGACUUGAUCAACCUUGUUAGUGGAUUCCUUUUGAUGAGCACAAGAUGGAUGAAGUUAGAAAACACGACUCUUUGUACCCUCCUUCUACUUUCUGUUACUUAGAUUAAAUAAAGCAAGAAUAGUAUUUUCUGUCUGUUUUCUGAAUUAUCCUUGCAAUAAAAAAAUACCGCGAAAAUAAAAGUUCUCCAAAUGUCCCGAAAAUGAAAUAUGAUUUUUUGUAGAAUAUUUAAGAAUAUCUGGCACUGAGAGCACACCAGGGGGAGCCACCACCUGGCCACGAGGGUCCAGGGCGCACCCCCUACCUCGUGGGCCCCAUGUGGCCCCCCUCCACUUAUUCUAGCACCCACACACUUCUUCUUCCUCCAGAAAAAAUCAUCCCCUAGCUCAAACCCGUGUUCUAGCUCAUCUUGUUGCGAUUUUCGAUCUCCUUGCUCAAAGCUCCAUUCACAAAACUGCUUUGGGGGAUUGUUCUUCGGUAUGUGGCUCCUCCAAUGGUCCAAUUAGUUUUUGUUCUGGUGCUUUAGUUAUUGCAAAUUUUUGCCACUUAGGUGACCCUGUUCUUGAGCUUGCAUGUCAAAUUUAUUUGGUCCAAAGUAGUUUUAAUGCAUGAUAUAGUCUCUAGGCACUUGUGGGAGUAGUUGUUUUUAAUCUUGUUGAGUUUGGUUCACUUUUAUUUUGGGUUACUAAAAAUUUCAGAAUUUUUUUAGAGGAAGAAAUAUGUUUAGGAAAAUGUACGAAGGUGGUUCCUCAAGAAAGCAGGUACCUAGGCUCGCGAUACGUGAGCCGGACUAUGAACUACCAAGGGAAGCUCAAGUGCGGCCUUGUGAAUGGCCAUCAGAGGAGUUUAUGGUCGGAGCAGGUAUCAAGGAUGAAUUUGACGCGUAUGUGCGUAAUGCUGACCUUGAAGGCUUCGUGUCAGAUAAGUGCCCGCAAUACCGUUACCUAACUGAUUCCUUUGUGAGAAGGUUUAAAUUUACAUCCUCGCGCAAUUCUCACAUUGUUCUAUUUGAUCUUUAUGAUAAAUCAUAUACUAUGGACCUAGAAGAUUUUAAUGUUGCUUGUAAACUCCCGCAGUGGGGCAAUGUUAGUGAACCGCGUAAAUCUGAAUAUAAAGAUUUUCUUGCUAGUAUCACUGUGGGGGAAUCUAGAGAAAUCACACAAGCUACCAUAGGGAGCAUUCAUUUUCCUGCCAUACAUUAUUUUGCUCUCUUCGUGGGUAGAUGCAUUAACGGUAAAGAUGAGGCUUGCCACAUGUGCGUUCCAGAUCUUAGUGUCCUCAAGAGUGCGGUAUUAGGUUAUAAACAAUAUAACUCGGGGGCCAUCGUUGCACGAAGAUUGCAACUUAAUAGUUUAAGUGGAGACUUAUUUGGUGGAAUUUAUGCAACCCGUGUAGCUAAUUAUCUUGAGAUACCCAUACAUGAAAAUGAUAUGGAAUUGCCUCCUGCUUAUCUAGAUUAUAAUGCUAUGGUUCGUCAUCAGUUUGUUGAGAGGAAUGAACAAUUCCUCCAAUACCGACUAAUUUUUGACAGAUGUCGCACUGUCCAUGUUGCUCUCCCUGCUCCUACUUUCUUUGACUUUUAGGCAAAAAGGAGAUAUGUUAUAACCAGGGAGGAGGCGAACGAGUAUGAGAGGAGGACGGAGGCAGCUUGCCUCCAAGCUGUAGCUCGUCAGGCAAUAGCCGUUGCAUCUCAGUACGACCCAAGUUACAACUUCGGAUAUCCGCCAGGCCAGCCGUGGCCAUAGACCAACUUAGGCCAAAAGCCUAAGCUUGGGGGAGUACGUAUUUCUCACCGACAUUGCAUUCAUGUUCACACACUCAUGCCAGUUGUCGGUGCUCAUACUUUUUCAUUGUACUAUCCAUGCUAGUUUAUUUUGUUUUUAAGUUUUCUUCUUGUGUGUUUGAAAAACCUUAAGAAAAAACCAAAAAAUUAGUUAUAGCUUUUAGCUAGUUUACUUUCCAUGCCUGUAGUAGUAUAAUUAAAAGAAAACCCAAAAAGAUUUCUCGUUCUUCUUUUGCUUGUUGGAAGCUUUCCCGUGUAAAUAGUUUUAUUUCUUUUCUUUGGGGGUCGAGAGGAGAAGACCAUGAUGAAAAUGUUAAGUGGCUCUUAUAUGCAUUAUUGUUGAUUUAACAAAGAUCCCAUGUUACCUUGUCUUCUCCCGUGUAUUAAAUGCUUGCAGAUUCUAGCUUAAUCCAAUUGCACGUGCACUAUUAUUAUUAUCCACACCGUUCGGUCGUGCAAGUGAAAGGCAAUAAUGACGAUAUAUGAUGGACUGAUUGAGAUGAGAAAAGCUGGUAUGAACUCGACCAUCUUGUUUUUAUAAAUAUGAUUAGUUCAUCAUUCCUGAUUCAGCCUAUUAUGAAUGAAACAUGUUUGCAAUGACAAUUAGAGAUUAUAGUUGCUCAUUCCAUGCUUAAUUAGCUCGGAGUUUAUAAUGUUUUACCUUGCGUGCGAACAUGCUAUUAAAAUGGUUGUGAUGUGGUAUGAUAGGGUGGUAUCCUCCUUUGAACGAUUCGAGUGGCUUGACUUGGCACAUGUUCACGCAUGUAGUUGAAACAAAAUCAACAUAGCCUCAACGAUAUUUAUGUUCAUGGUGAAUUAUAUCCUACUCAUGCUUGAAUUCAGUGUUGAUUAAUUUUAAUGCAUGUUCAUGGCUGUUGUCGCUCUCUAGUUGGUCGCUUCCUAGUCUCUUUCUAGCCUUCACUUGUACUAAGCGGGAAUACUGCUUGUGCAUCCACUUCCAUAAACCCCAAAGUUAUUCCAUAUGAGUCCACCAUACCUUCCUAUAUGCGGUAUCUACCUGCCGUUCCAAGUAAAUUUGUAUGUGCCAAACUCUAAACCUUCAAAUGAAAUUCUGUUUUGUAUGCUCGAAUAGCUCAUGUACCAACUAGGGAUGUCUGUAUCUUCCAUGCUAGGUGGGUUAUUCUCACGAGGAGUGGACUCCGCUCCUCACUCACGAGAAAAUGGUCGGUCACCGGGAUGCCCAGUCCCAUGCUCAAAUCAAAUCAAAAUAAUUGCAAACAAAACUCCCCCAGGACUGUUGUUAGUUGGAGGCACCCGUUGUUUCGGGCAAACCAUGGAUUGAUGCUUGUUGGUGGUGGGGGAGUAUACACUUUACCAUUCUGUUUGGGAACCGCCAAUAAUGUGUGUAGCAUGGAAGAUAUCGAGAUCUCUUGGUUGUUAUGUUGACAAUGAAAGUAUGCCACUCAAAAUAUUAUUUAUCUCUGUUUCAAAACUUGAGCUCUGGCACCUAUACAAAUCCCUGCUUCCCUCUGCGAAGGGCAUAUCUAUUUACUUUUAUGUUGAGUCAUCACCCUCUUAUUAAAAAGCACCAGUUGGAGAGCACCGCUAUCAUUUGCAUGCAUUACUAUUAGUUUACAUUGAGUAUGACUAUGACUGGAUCUCUUUUACCAUGAAUUACAAUGUUUAGCCAGUCCUUGAUCUUCAGAGGUGCUCUGCAUUUAUGUUUUGCGAUCUCAGAAAGGGCUAGCGAGAUACCAUCUUGUUAUAUCAUAUUAUGAUUGUUUUGAGAAAGUGUUGUCAUCCGAGAUUUAUUAUUAUUGCUCGCUAGUUGAUUGUGCCAUUGAUAUGAGUAAACAUGAGACCUAAGUGUUAUUGUGAAUAUGGUUGGUUCAUAAUCUUUGCUGAAAACUUGAAUGCUGGCUUUACAUAUUUACAACAACAAGAGCAAAUAGAGUUUGUAAAAGUUUUUCUUUAUCACUUUCAGUUUGUCAACUGAAUUGCUUGAGGACAAGCAAAGGUUUAAGCUUGGGGGAGUUGAUACGUCUCCAACGUAUCUACUUUUCCAAACACUUUUGCCCUUGUUUUGGACUCUAACUUGCAUGAUUUGAAUGGAACUAAUCUGGACUGACGCUGUUUUCAACAGAAUUGCUAUGGUGUUAUUUUUGUGCAGAAAUAAAAGUUCUCGGAAUGACCUGAAACUUCACGGAGAAUAUUUUUGGAAUAUAUAAAAAAUACUAGCGAAAGAAUCAACACCAGGGGGCCCACACCCUGUCCACGAGGGUGGAGGGCGCGCCCACCCACUAGAGCGCGCCCCCUGCCUCGUGGGCCCCCUGAGGCUCCACCGACCUCAACUCCAACUCUAUAUAUUCACGUUUGGGGAGAAAAAAAUUGGAGAGAAAGAUUCAUCGCGUUUUACGAUACGGAGCUGCCGCCAAGCCCUAAUCUCUCUCGGGAGGGCUGAUCUAGAGUCCGUUCGGGGCUCCGGAGAGGGGAAUCCGUCGCUGUCAUCAUCAUCAACCUUCAUCACCAAUUUCAUGAUGCUCACCGCCGUGCGUGAGUAAUUCCAUCGUAGGCUUGCUGGACGGUGAUGGGUUGGAUGAGAUUUAUCAUGUAAUCAAGUUAGUUUUGUUAGGGUUUGAUCCCUAGUAUCCAUUAUGUUCUGAGAUUGAUGUUGCUAUGACUUUGCUAUGCUUAAUGCUUGUCACUAGGGCCCGAGUGCCAUGAUUUCAGAUCUGAACCUAUUAUGUUUUCAUGAAUAUAUGUGAGUUCUUGAUCCUAUCUUGCAAGUCAAUAUUCACCUACUAUGUGUUAUGAUCCGGUAACCCCGAAGUGACAAUAAUCGGGACCACUCCCGGUGAUGACCAUAGUUUGAGGAGUUCCUGUAUUCACUAAGUGUUAAUGCUUUGGUCCGGUACUCUAUUAAAAGGAGGCCUUAAUAUCCCUUAGUUUCCAAGAGGACCCCGCUGCCAUGGGAGGGUAGGAAAAAAGAUGUCAUGCAAGUUCUUUUCCAUAAGCACGUAUGACUAUAUUCGGAAUACAUGCCUACAUUACAUUGAUGAACUGGAACUAGUUCCGUGUCACCCUAUGUUAUAACUAUUGCAUGAGGAAUCGCAUCCGACAUAAUUAUCCAUCACUGGUCCAAUGCCUACGAGCUUUUCACAUAUUGAUCUUUGCUUAGUUACUUUGCCGUUGUCACUGUUACAAUUACUACAAAGCUGCUACUGUUACCUUUGCCACCGUUACCGUUACUUCCAUACUACUUUGCUACAAAUAUUAAGUUUUCCAGGUGUGUUUGAAUUGACAACUCAACUGCUAAUACUUGAGAAUAUUCUUUGGCUCCCCUUGUGUCGAAUCAAUAAAUUUGGGUUGAAUACUCUACCCUCAAAAACUGUUGCGAUCCCCUAUACUUGUGGGUUAUCUGCUGCAAGCUUGCUCCUUGAGCUGUUUUGGCUAGAGGAGGAAGAAGAACAAGGCUAGCCCUUACUCCACUCUCUCUAUGUGGUAUGUGUGUGCUGAGGUUCUGAACCCUUUGCAUGGGUGGCCUGGGGGGUUUAUAUAGGCCUACCCUCAGGGAUACAAUGGUAAUCCGGCCGGGUGUAGGACCCGGCUGUCAGUGUCUCUGGUUGCCGACUUCUCUGCCGGCUGCUGGGGCCCGCCGCCUGGUGGGUCCCGCCGGCUGUCUCGUACUUGGCCGACGGGCCGCGCCCGCCGCUUGCGGGUACUGCCAACUGCUUAGUAUGGCUGCGCCACUAAUGAUGCAUGCUUUGUCGGGGAGAGCGUGGCUACAGUCCGCCGCCUGUCGGGCGUUCACUGUAGCCACUCCCCGUCUCUUCUGAUGAAUGGCGCACAGACUUUGAGGGAGGGGGAGGGCCACCUACUAUGAGUUGGCCUCCCCUAUGCCGACUGGUCAGGGCUUGCUGCCUUCUGGCUUCUCACGGACAGGUAGGGCCCGCCGCUUGCGGGCCGUAUCGACAACCCGUAGUGGGAGUGUGGCCUCUUCUGCCAUGGAUGAUGUCACGGGUUGCGUGGCAACAGUGCUGCUCCGGGCGAGGGAUGUCCGCCCAGUACGCUGCACUGUGGCCAUGCUCUGCCCUGGAUUCGGGGGUGGCAGGAUACACUGUAGCCACGCCCCGUCUCAUCGUUGUAAUGAGGUGCUAACUUCGAGGGAGGGAGGGACCGCCUGCUAGGAGCCGGCCUCCCUGGAGGCCGCCUGCUAGGAGUCGGCCCACCUCAUGGCCGCCCUCUGGGCUCCACCACCUUCUAGCAGCCGGUUGCUUGGACCAGCCGGCCCUGAGGAGGCGGCUCUUUGUCUCUAAGGCUUGAGGGGCGCAGCCGGCCCCGAUGUCUUGAAAUACCAUGGGGAGCAGAUGAGGCUACCCAUGGUCAUUUACUCCGACAGUAGUCCACGAAGCUGGUGGGGCGCCGUGGCUGAAAUGACGAGAAGCCUCAGCAGCUUCCUACUCCGAGUGGUCUUGGUUGUUUUGCUUCGUCCGUCUUCUGAAGUGACGACUGCUAGGAGCCGACCGUGACCAGGCAGGCCGCCUGGUGAUUUCAAAAUGUCGUGGUGGGGGCCAGGUGGCACGCCAGCCAGAUGCCAGACUUGCCGCCUGUUGCCUGCCUGCCACGCGGCACCAGCAGGCCAGGCCGGCCUACCAGCCCACGCGCGCGAUGGGGCGUCGCCGCAGGCCGGGGCCCGCCACUACAGGGCCUCGGCACGUGCGCGGAUCCGCUGCGGCCGAGGCAGACGGUUGGGCUUCUGCAGUAGUUAAUACACACCUUUUGGGCGUGGUAAUCGUGGGAUCAUGGGGGAGUGGGUGCAGUUUAUCCCACGACCCCCAUGUUCUCGCCCCUCGGCUCCGCCGCCCGGGGCUAUAAUAUGGGGGGAGGGGGCGGCAGACCCACGCGCGCCCUCCUCUCCCUUCGCCAUUCUUCUUCCUCUCCUCUCUGAUGCCGCAGUGCCCCUUCCUCUUGCCGAAGCGCUGCUGCAGCCCACCAUCGCCGUGCUUCUCCCCACCACGGCCUUCUUGCUCUGCUGCGGUCUCGCCGCUCGUCGCCGCACCGCACCUCCGAUGAGCACCCAAGCUGUAUGGCGUGGGCACGGGCCGGGGACUGGGAUGGCUCCAACGUCCACGACUAUCACCUCUCCUCUCUUCAUCAGACGCGGCGGCUGCCCCGGGAGACAAACGUGAAGGUGCGUGUCCCCCCCGAGGCAGAAAUCUCGCUGGUGCCGGAGGACGACGAACGCGUCGUCUUCCCGUCUCAUUUUCUUCGCGGCUUCGGCCUUCCGGCGAGCGGCUUCCUGCGCUCCUUCCUCAAGUUCUAUCGUGUUCAGCCGCACCACCUCACACCAAACACGGUGGUGCUGCUGGCCGCCUUCUUCACUCUGUCCGAAGGCUAUCUUGGUACUCUCCCCACCCUCGAACUCUGGGGAGAGUGCUUCUACCUCAAGCUCGGCACCGCCGCCAAGGGCCAGGUGGCUCAGUGCGGAGCCUACGUGGCGGUGCGGCGUCCGGGUGCCGGGAACCGCUUCCCGCCCAUCUCCCUGCUGCAGUCAGCCAAGCUGUGGCAGAAGUCCUACUUCUACGUCAAGAAUAUUCAUCCGACGAGGGACUACAUCAACCUGCCGGCUUAUGUAGCCGGCCCGCCUGCAGAGCCGCGCGCCAACUGGCAGUACAAGCCGAGCUCCUUAUCGGCCUCCUCCUCCGCCGCCCUCGCCCGACUUCAGGUGAAGACGGAGUCGGAGGGCCUCAAGGGCUCGGACCUGCUGGCCGCCUAUGUGGCGCGCCGAGUGUUCCCCCUCCAAGCCCGGCCCCACAUCAUUAGCAAUAUGAGUGGGCACCGGGACCCGUGCCAGAUGUGCACGUGGGAGCUGCCGGGUGUGGAGGUGGCCCGGCUGGUCAACUACUUCUCCAACUGCAAGUUGUCGAAGAAGGAUUGGUAGUUUGGCAAGCCGCCGUACGACCGCGCACACCCGCCGCCUGCGGUAAGUCUUGUAAUUCUUUUUCUUGUUUGUUCGUCCGAGUUCUUGCUUUGCCGUCUGAUCAGUCAGCAAUGAUAUAGGUCUUCUCUACCCAGUCGGCCGCCGACGCUCUGGAGCCGGGCGACGUGUUCAUGCCGGACCGGACGAGAAGCGACGCGGACGACCCCGACUUGGGGGCGGCCGCCAUGGAGGAGGACGACGCCACGGGAGGUGGAGGUGGAGCAGGCGGCUCCUCAGGAGGUGGCGUCGAGGAUUGGCCAGAUGAUGAUGAGGAGGAGAACGAGCCGCGUGGCGCUCAUGGCGCCGGCAAGGCGGGUGCGAGCUAUUCAGCCGCGCCGACUGCACCAGGCAGCGCGCCGAAGCGCCGGGCCGAAGGCGGGCUGUUCGGCAGCCGGCUGAAGAAGGCCAAGAACACGGCCGCCGCGACCAGGCGGCAGGAGGCCGCCGCGAAGGCGGCCCAAUUCCAGAAGUCCCCAAAGCGGCUCCCAUUGGCGUCCGGGUGAGUAUUUCGGUUCUUCAGCUCUCGCUUUUGUGUUUGCUUUUCUUCUUUCUUUUAGUCUUCUUACUGGCUUCUUGUCCCCGUGCUUCAUAGGGACCCGCUCUCUCUAUCGCGGACCCCGUCAGCCUCGGUGAUUGGGGGGCGGACGGCUUCGCCGAGCCCCGCCGCGUGGACCUUCUUGCCGACCUCCGUGAGGUGACGGAGCGGAACGCGCGGGAGGCGCGCGAGGAGCGGGAGAAGGCGGAUGCGGCCAAGGUGGCGCAGGCGGAGGUCGAUGCGGCAGCCAAGGCUCAAGCCGACGCCGCGACCAAGGAGCAGGGGACGCGGCCGCCAAGGCGCAGGAGGCGGAGGCAGCCCGCAGCCAGGCUCCACAGCUCGUCGUCCCACUGCGCGCCGUGCCACCAGCACCGGAGAGCCAGGCGCGGACUGGAGGAGCCGGCGAUGACCAGCCGGUCCAGGAGAGGGGAGGGGGCGACCCCAUCGUCUUGGGGGCGAAAGUGCCCCCGCCCACGCCGACUGUCGACGCCCAGAUCAGUCGACCUGACGCAACACAAGUGCCGCUGAUUGGUGGCGAGUUGGUGGUGGGCUCGGCUCCCGCGGUCCGCACUCCGGUGCGUCAUCGCGCGGGAAAAGCGACCUCAGUGCCACGGCCGCUGGAAUUCGGGGCCGCAAGCUCAUCGCCCCCCAAAGCUGAGGCUACCAGCGCCCCCCGCCGGAGUGGACGCCUGGGGCGGGACGGGCGUGCUGAACACGGCCGCACAGGAUGUCCAGGCCCGGUUCCAGGCCCAAGGCACCGCCCUCCAGCAGUAUACACAAGCGUUUUUGGCAACGCGAGCGGCUGUCCGGGUAUGCUUCUCAUCACUUUGUUUUUUAUUCUUGUAAUCUUCCACGGGGGCGUGCCAGCGCACCCACUGGGUGUAGCCCUCGAGUUCCGGGCUGGCUGCUGAGCAGGCGGCUCGGAACUUAAAGGUAAGUUCUGAGUGCUAACCUUUCCUUUUCUCUUCUGUUUUCUUUGUUGCAGGACUACCACAACAUCCGCACGGCCGCCUUCAACUCCCAUGUCCGGGAGAUGACCAAGCGGACCACUGAUUUGGCCAAAAGCCAGAGUAAACACUCCGUCCUUGUUCUCGCGGGGGCGCGUCAGCGCACCCGCUGGGUGUAGCCCCGAGAUUCGGGCCGACUACUGAGCAGUCGAGCCGGAUCUUCCGGCAACCACUUUUCCCCUUUGUUGAUUUGUUGACUAUCUUCUCUUUCUUGUCUUCUGCAGGAGCGCCCGCCGACCUGCAGCAGUGCUUGGGCGAAGCCCAAACUGAGCUGCGCACCAAGGAGGAGGAGCGCCGCAAGGUGGUUGAGGAGUGCGACCGCCUGGCCAAGGAGCUGGCGGCCCAGGCAGAUCGACACAAGGCGGCGCUCAAGAAGGCGAAGGACGACGAGGCCGUCCUCCAGGCCGAGUUCGAGACCGAACGCUCGGGCUGGGCCGAGAAGGAGAAGGCCCUGAGCGACGGCUACGGCGAGAUCAAAGAUAUGAUCGACGGUGAGUUAUAUUUCCUUUCUUUCGGCCGCCGUCUUCUAUAUGAGCCGGCCUGUAUCUUCUUUUUUCUUCUUGUGCAGACUUCUUCCCUGGACACGCCAUUGCCGCCAGCCAGGACAUCGAGGCUCACCGCGAUGAGCGAUGAUGGGCUAGUGCAGAAAUCGCGCCCAAUGCACCCCGAACCCUCAACGAGCAGCUUCUCGCCAUCCACGCUCGUCUCCAGCCGUCCCACCGGAUGCUACACCGUCUGCAGCGCGUCAUGGCCCAUGUGUUGACUGCCCUCUAGCCGGACUCUCAGACCCUGCGCACCCCCAGCCGGACUGCUGAGUGGCUGGAGGUAGCAGUCGGCCGCUUCGAGGCUUGGAAGGGCUCGGCGGCUCGUGCCGGCGCUUGGAGGGCCCUGGAGUUUGUCAAGGCAUGGUACCCAGGCCUGGACUUGGCCCAGCUGGCCACCUUCCGGGUGGAGGCCACACCAGAGCUGGCGGCGGCGAGCCGUGACCUGACUCGUCACGCAGCGGCGAUCUCCGACUACGCCGACACCUCCGUGUUCGUCCUGGAGCUAAACGAGGAGGGAGCCGAGGUGCCGCCCAACUGGUUCGGGCUGAACCCGGAGUAUGAGGAAGAUUCGAUGAAGGAGAUCGUCUCUAGUGAUGACAGCGAGGACGAAGAGGAUGAUGCGCCGGGUGAUGGAGCCGCCGGCCAGCCUCAGCCCGACUAAGCCUCGACCAACGAGCCGCGAGUCGGCGAGCCGACUGCUGCUGGUGCCGACCAGGCCGAGACCAACCAGACGGCCAUUCCACCACCCAGUGCCUCCACCUCCGCCGACCCCUCGGAUCCGACUGCAACCCCUCUGGCCUAGGCGGCCAAGUUAUCUUCUUUUUCCUAUUCUUGUAAUCUUUUGGACAAAUAUGUUAAAUCUACGUAGUUCCACCCGCUGGGGUGUAUUCAAACUCUGUUGAAUGUUGGCUGAGGGCCUUUUGCUUAUGUAAAUUAACUUUGCCGAGUUCUAACUUGUCUUGCUUUUCUGCUCCUUUGGCUUUUUCCUUUGCCGCCUUCCUUUGGCUGCCGCCUUGCCAGCCAGGCAGCCGCUCUGCGGUCUGUGGCUGGGUCAGGUACUUGGCCAUUUUGGGAAGGCAAGUACUUCAGCCGUUUAGAGCGUAGCAAGUUAAGUGACAGGCCGGCCGGCCGGUUGCCUAGCAGCCGGGCAGUAAGGCUAGGAGCCGGCUUGGCCUCUGUGGAUGCUUUUUUCCUUAGCCAUUUUUCGUAUGGGCACCCUUUCCUGCCUUUAACUCUUGCCUGCCGAACAGUCACUCUGCGAACUGCGGCUUAUGGUAAGAGAGGGCUUAGAUGCCGGCAUACUACUUGUCAGACUGCAGGUAGCAUCAACAUAAUACAAGGCGGCAAGCCCUCGGGCCGACUGGUCGAACCCGGUGCCGGACGAAGGAAUGAAAUAAUACAUUCACAGGCAUAGAACUUAUCAUAUAGAUAAAAAGGGUAGCCCCCGAGUGCUCCUCGAGGGACCCGAUGUCUUAGCUUCUUAAUACAAAAGGUAGCGUGGUACAUAUGGCAUUAACUGUAAAAUCUUCGGAGGAGAUUUGCAUUCCAUGGGCGCUCCGAUUCCUUGCCAGAGUCGUCUCUCUUGCGCGCUCUGGGCUUCUAUGCAUCGAUGGGGUAGUAGGAGUUGUUGCCCAAAGCUUUGCUUAUGAUGAAGGGGCCUUCCCAAGGGGCCGAGAGCUUGUGCUGGCCGGCUGUUCGCUGGAUCAACCGGAGCACAAGGUCUCCCUCUUGGAAGGAUCUUGGCUUGACCUUCCAACUGUGGUAGCAGCGCAGGCUCUGCUGGUAGAUGGCGGACCGGCUGAGUGCCAACAGCCGGCCCUCUUCCAGCAGAUCAGCGCCGUCUUCUCGUGCUUCUUUUGCCUCCGCCUCCGUGUACAUGGUCACGCGAGGUGAGUUGAACUCAAUGUCAGUUGGGAUGACGGCCUCGGCCCCGUACAUGAGGAAGAAGGGAGUGAAGCCGGUUGAUUUGUUCGAAGUGGUGCGGAGGCUCCAGAGGACGGCCGACAGUUCGUCGAUCCAGCAGCCCGCCGAGCGCUCUAGUGGCUCGACUAGUCGGGGCUUGAUGCCGGACAAGAGGAGGCCGUUUGCUCGCUCGACCUGGCCGUUUGACUGCGGAUGGGAAACGGACGCUAAGUCCAGUCAGAUGCCCUGCAUCGCGCAGAAACGGGGCAAGGCACCUUUGGCAAAGUUUGUGUCGUUGUCGGUGAUGAUGGUGUGUGGUACACCGUAUCGGACGUUGAUAUCUACGAUGAAGGUCACAACAGUCGGACCAUUCAGUUUCUUGAUUGGCUUUGCUUUGAUCCACUUGGUGAAUUUGUCCACGGCGACAAGCAGAUGGGUCAUGGCGCCGCGUGCUGUCUUGAAUGGUCCCACCAUGUCCAGCCCCCAUAAGGCAAAGGGCCAAGUGAGGGGAUGGUCUUGAGUGCAGAAGCCGGCAGAUGUUGCUUGGAGCUGAAUUUCUGGCACCCCUUGCAUUUCUUGACCAAAUCCUUGGCGUCUUCCAAAGCAGUUGGCCAGAAGAAACCAUGGCGGAAAGCUUUGGCGACAAGGGAUCUGGAGGCCACGUGGUGGCCGCACUCUCCUUGGUGGAUAUGUUUGAGGAUUGCCUUGACUUUCUCUGGUUCUACACAGCGCUAGAAGACCCCAGUCACGCUGCGUCUGACAAGCUCUCUGUUUACUAUCGUGUAGGCUCCUGCUCAGCGGUGCACUUGCCGGGCCGAGGUCUCAUCAGCUGGCAGCUCUCUGUUCACCAGGAAAUUGAGGAUGGGUUGCGCGCAUGAUGGUGCUUCGACUUCAUCCACUGUUAUCAUGGCCACUGAGACUAGGGUGGCUGGGUUGGGAGGCGGCGGGGUGGAGUCGGCUGCUGCUUGCUGCGUUGUUGGAGUCCUCGGGCCGACUGCUGCAGCCCCCAGGCCGGGUUCUAGAGUCCCAGGGCCGAGUGCGACUGCCGCAGUCCACGAGCCGCUUGGUGAAGUCCUCGGGCCGGCUGCUGCAGCCCCCGGGCCGGGUCUGACUGCUUCGGGAGCAGCCGGCAUGAAGAUGGACUCGGAUUCUGGAGAAGGCUUGAUAGACGGCUUGCGGAGGCACUGAAGGGAGACCCCGACUGGUAUUGCUUGGCGGGUGGAGCCGAUUCGUGCCAGGGCAUCAGCUUGCUCGUUGUCGUUCCGUGGUACGUGAAGGAACUCACACCCGUCAAAAUAUUCGCCGAUCUGCUAGACGAGGAAGCGGUAACUUGCCAUAUUUGCAUCCUUGGUGUCCUAGUCGCCAGACGACUGUUGGACCACCAAGUAUGAGUCGCCAUACCACAGGAUCCGGCGGAUGUCGAUCUCUUUGGCCAGCCGGAGUCCGUGUACUAGCACCUCAUACUCGGCCACGUUGUUGGAGGCGGUAAAGUAAAUUUGCAAUAUGUAUCUGAGCUUGUCGCCCUUGGGAGAGGUGAGGACGAUGCCGGCUCCCAAGCCGGUGCGCAUCUUCGAGCCAUCAAAGUGCAUCCGCCAAUGAGUGGAGUCCGGAGCUGGCGGCAGGUCCUGGGUCUCAGCCCAGUCGACGAGGAAGUCAGCCAGUGCUUGGGACUUGAUGGCGGUGCGUGGCUGGUAGAAGAUGGUGUACGGGGCCAACUCGAUGGCCCAUUUGGCCACCCGGCCUGAUGCAUCUCUGUUGCCUAUGAUCUUAGCAAGCGGGGCAGUGCAAACAAUCGCGAUUGGGUGCUCUUGAAAGUAUAGCUUCAGCUUCUUGGCGGCAAAGUGCACGCCGUAGCACAUCUUCUGCUAGUGGGGGUAGUUCUGCUUUGAGGCCGACAACACCUCGCUCAAAUAGUACAUAGGCCUCUAGACUGGCUGUGCUCUGCCAUCCUGUGGGCGCUCCACCACAAUGACAGUGCUGACCACCCGGCUGGUGGCGGCGAUGUAGAGGUACAUGGGCUGCUCAGCAGCCGGGGCCACCAGGACAGGCGAGGUAGUCAGCAUCUUCUUCAACUGGAGAAAGGCCUCAUCCGCCUUGUCGUUCCACUAGAAGUGAGUGGUUUUCUUCAUGAGUUGGUACAGGGGAAGAGCCUUCUCACCCAGCCGACUGAUGAAGCGGCUGAUGGAUGCCAAACAGCCGGUGAACUUCUGGACAUCUUGCAGUCGGGUGGGUCUCUCCAUCCUCUCAAUGGCCUUGAUCUUCACAGGGUUGCACUCAAUGCCACGCUCUGAGACCAAGAAGCCAAGCCGGCUGGUACUCCAAAGACAGACUUCUCCGGGUUGAGCUUGAUUUGAAAACGGCGUAGAUUAUCAAAAGUUUCCUUGAGAUCUUCCAAGAGGGUAUCACGCUUCUCCGUCUUCACCACAAUAUCGUCUACAUAGACGUGGGCAUUUCUGCCGAGCUGCUUGAGGAGGCACUUCUGCAUGCAAUGUUGAAACGUGGCACCGGCAUUUCUCAAGCCGAAUGUCAUGGUCAGGUAGCAUAAGGCUCCGAAUGGUGUGAUGAAGGCGGUCUUCAGGCGGUCGGCCGGGUUCAACUUGAUCUGGUGGUACCCUGAGUAGGCAUCGAAAAAACUCAGCAGCUCGCAUCCGGCUGCGGAGUCUAUCACUUGGUCUAUCCUUGGCAAAGCAAAUGGAUCUUUGGGGCAGGCUUUGUUGAGGCUGGUAUAGUCAAUACACAUGCGCCAUUUGUCGUUCUUCUUCAGUACAAGGACUGGGUUGGCAAUCCAUUCUGGAAAAAACACUUCCAUAAUGAAGCCGGCCGCCAGCAGGCGGGCGAUCUCUUCACCAACGAUUCUCCUCUUCUCUUCCGACAGUCGGCGGAGGGGUUGUUUGACUGGUUUGGCAUCUGAUCUGACAUGUAGCUUGUGCUCGGCGAAAUCCGUCGGAACACCCGACAUAUCUUUGGGAGACCAUGCGAAGAUGUCCUGAUUCUCAUGGAGGAAAUCGACGAGCUCGCUUUCCUAUUUGCUGUCAAGGUUGGCCCCUAUGACAGCGUGCCUCUCCGGGUGCUCUAGGUCCAAGGGGAUCUUCUUUCUUUCUUUGGCCGGCUGGAAGGAGCCCUGGGUCUCAGACUCCUUGGGGUCUGGAGACAAGUCCGGCUGCUUGUUGGCCAUGGCCACAACUCGGUCCAGGAGCUUCUUCUCAGCAGCAAUCACAAGGGACUCGGCCAGCCGGCUGCUAGCUGCAGCACAGGCGGCCGACUUCUCGUAGUCUCCAGCUAUUGUGAUAAUGCCCUUAGUUCCUGGCAUCUUCAUCUUGAGGUAGGCAUAAUGAGGCACUGCCAUGAACUUGGCUAGAGCUGGCCGGCCUAGGAGCACAUGAUAAGGGAUCUCCAGGUCAACCACCUCAAACCAAAUUGCCUCGCGGCGGAAGUGAUCCUUGUCUCUGAAGAGGACAUCUAUCUUGAUCUUGCCGAUUGGUGAGCAGGAAAGGCCGGGGACAAUGCCAUGAAAGACGGUCCGACUGGGCUGGAGCUGCUUCUCUUUAAUGCACAACUUCUCCAUGGUAUCGCGGUAAAGUAUGUUGAUGCUGCUACCGCCAUAUAUCAGAAUCCAGGAGAAAUGAGCAGUUCGCCUCUCUGUUGCAAGGGUGGCAUCCAACACCAGAGCAUAGGAACCCGAAGAAGGCAUCACCUCCGGGUGGUCUGCAUGGCUCCAGCUGAUGGGCUUCUCGGACCAAUGCAUGAAUUCUGGGGCAUUUGAAGCAACGACAUUCACUUCACGGUGUUGCUGACGUCGGUUGUGCCUGUCACCAGCCACGCUGGUGAAGACGACAUAAGCUUCGUGUUCUUCGGGGAAUUCAUCCUGGAUAGCACCGACUGCUGGACGGGCCGCCGGCUGCUCGGGAGGCAGAGCCGGCUGGCCAACAGGCGGAGGAGGCAGUCCCUCGCCCUUGGCAAUGCGGAUGAGCCAAUGGCAUUUCCGGGUUGUAUGGUUGGAUGUUCGCGCCGCUAUGGAACUUGCAGGGAGCAUCGAGGGUCUGCUCGAAGGAGAAGGCGGGCAGCCAGGCGGGCUUGCCGCCUUUCUGACGCUUGGGGCCGGGUUGCCCCUCCGUCUGUUGAUCCUCAACAGUUGCUGCCUACCGGUUGGUGGAAGCCGGCAGCGGGGCCUUGCGCUUGUUGUCGUUCUGCUGCUGGCGCCAACUGUUGUCACGAGCCGGCGUCCGGGGAGCCGGAGGGAGCACCUUCCCGGACACGUCCACCUGGAGCUCCGACUUCAUGGAGGAGUGGGCCGUGGCGUAGUUGUCUGCUAUGAUCAGCAGCUCGUCGAGUGUAGCCGGCUCAUCACAGAGGAGUCGGUGCUUGAGUAAGGUGCCCUCUCCGCACGCGGCGGUGAAGUACUCAAUGGCUUGCACCUCGUGCACCCCUUCACAGGAGUUGCGCAGUUUGGCCCAUCGCGUCAAGUAGUCGCGGGUGGACUCGGUCGGGCCUUGAACACACAGCGAGACCUGGCGGUGCUUGGGCAGCCGCUUUUAGGUGCUGGUGAAGUUGCGGAUGAAGACUUCAGUGAAAUCUACCCAGCUGUUGACGCUGUGGGGCUUCGGGCUAUUCAGCCAUGUCCGGGCCAUGCCCUGGAGCAUGAGCAGAACGUACUUCACGGCAACGCGCUUGUUGCCGUUUGCUAUGUUCACGGCUGUGGAGUAGUCCACCAGCCAAUCCUCCGGCUUCACGGAGCCGUUGUACUUGGGAGUGUCUCGAGGGAGCGAGAACCCUUUGGGGAAGGGCUCGUCGCGAAUGUGGGGGCCGAAACAAGGAGGGCCGAUUGCAUCUUCUUCUUCUAUUGCCAGGGAUCGAGCCAGGCGGUCGAUCCGGUGGCGGGCGUCGUUCUCUCCGACUCCUUCUCGGCGGCCCAGCCGGUCUCCGAGAGUCGGGUGCUCAACAGGCGGCGGGGAGGCGUGCCUCUCCCUGCACAGGGGAGGCGGGCGAUUGCUCCGUUGUUCCACCGCUCGCGGGUGGCUGUGUUUGUCGCGCUCGAUGGUGAUGCGCGUCCGAUUGCGGCUAGCAGCCGACUCUCGAUCUCUGUGGUCGCGGGCACCGCCUGUCGGCGUCCGGGAGGUCACACCAUGCUCUCAGUGAGGGGGGAGGUUCUCGGCUUGCAAGCUGGGUUCAACCACGCGGCGGCCGGCUUCUUGCUGCGCGGCAGCCGCCUCGAGGAGCUGCUGGACGUGCUCCGUCAUGUAGUGACGCUCGUCGCCUUCCAAGUGGUCUAGCUCGUCUGCUGCCGCCUGAGCAGUGCGCAGGUUCUCCAACGGCGUGGCAUAGAUAGGGUGGUCUACCCCGAACAUGCUGGCGACAGCAGCGCCACGCUGGCGGACUGUGCCCACAUGGCUAGGCUUGCCAGCCGCCGGAGUGCCACAGACGGCGCGGUCGAUCUCGUGCUGGUUGACCUCAGAGAGGUGUCUCAUGGUGGCCAACUUCUUGGCGCUCUCGACGAGCAAGACGCGACAGGCUUCUAGUGUCUCGGCAUUGGUGUCUGCCGCGAUGGGCGCGGACAGGUCCCGCAUGUCCGCCUGCAGCGGGUCCUGGGCGGCCCUGUCGAAGGCUCCGCCAUGGCUGAUGAUAAGCACCUCCGUGACGGUGCUGCUGCGGCUGUCUGCAAGAGGGAGCAGGUCGUCGAUGACCACCACGUUGGUGGGGAAGGCGUCGAGGGAUGCCGCAUCAAAGUCGACAAGCAUCGGGUUGGUGGAGCUAACUGACUCUAGGUCAGAGGCUGGCUCGUUGGUGAUGUGGAGCUUGCCAAGGAGGUCGAUGAUGAAGCUCUCGGAGCUGGUUGCUCCCGCGUCGGGUGCGGGCUCGUCGGAGAGGCGGAUCUCGCCGAUGAGAUCAGCGAGGCACCUCGCCGCGCAAGCGACUUCUGCGCCAUGCUGCGCGUCAGCGCAAACGCCAUCGGGCGUGCCGGGCUGGCUUCGCUCACUAGGGAGGAAAAGGGUUCCCGUCCAGAACAGAUCUCCGGACGACGGUGCACCUAGCCCCACAGUGGGCGCCAAAUGUCGGGGGUGUCGUGCGACAUAUGCCAAAGGAUGGCUUAUCAUGGUGGGGGACAAAAGUACGUCGCCGGUGCCUGGAAACGGGAUGAGGCGUAAACAUGUACGCCGACGCAUCUAACCCAGGUUCGGGGCUCUCCUAGGAGAUAACACCCCUAGUCCUGCUCUGCGGGGUCUCCACAUGAUCAGUAUCUCAACAAGGUGGCUGCAAGCUUGCUCCUUGAGCUGUUCUGGCUAGAGGAGGAAGAAGAACAAGGCUUGCCCUUAAUCCACUCUCUCUAUGUGGUAUGUGUGUGCUGUGGUUCUGAACCCUUUGCAUGGGUGGCCUGGGGGGUUUAUAUAGGCCUACCCCUCAGGGGUACAAUGGUAAUCUGGCCGGGUGUAGGACCUGGCUGUCAGUGUCUAUGGUUGCCGACUUCUCCGCCGACUGCUGGGGCCCGCCGCCUGGUGGGUCCUGCUGGCUGUCUCGUACUUGGCCGACGGGCCACGCUCGCCGCUUGCGGGUAUUGCCGGCUGCUUAGGACUGUGGCCGCUCCACUGAUGAUGCAUGCUUUGUCGGGGAGAGCGUGGCUACAGUCCGCCGCCUGGCGGGCGUUCACUGUAGCCACUCAUCGUCUCUUCUGAUUAAUGGCGCACAGACUUUGAGGGAGGGGGAGGGCCGCCUGCUAGGAGUCGGCCUCCCCUAUGCCGACUGGUCAGGGCUUGCCGCCUUCUGGCUUCUCACAGACAGGUAGGGCCCGCCGCCUGCGGGCCGUACCGAUAUCCCGUAGUGGGAGCGUGGCCUCUUCUGCCGUGGAUGAUGCCACGGGCUGCAUGGCAACAGUGCUGCGCCGGGCGAGGGGUGUCCGCCCAGUAUGCUGCACUUUGGCCAUGUUCUGCCCUGGAUUCGGGGGUGGCAGGCUACACUGUAGCCACACCCCGUCUCAUUGUUGUAAUGAGGUGCUAACUUCGAGGGAGGGAGGGACCACCUGCUAGGAGUCGGCCCACCUCAUGGCCGCCCUCUGGGCUCUGCCGCCUUCUAGCAGCCGGCCGCUUGGACCAGCCGCCCCGGAGGAGGCGGCUCUUUGUCUCUAAGGCUUGAGGGGCACAGCCGGCCCUGAUGUCUUGAAAUACCAUGGGGAGCAGAAGAGGCUACCUGUGGUCAUUUACUCCGACAUUCAGUCUCCCACUUGCACUAGAGUCAAUAAUCUAGUUCACAUCGCCAUGUGAUUUAACACCAAUAGUUCACAUCACCAUGUGACCAACACCCAAAGGGUUUACUAGAGUCAAUGAUCUAGUUCACAUCGCCAUGUGAUUAACACCCAAAGAGUACUAAGGUGUGAUCAUGUUGUGCUUGUGAGAGAAGUUUAGUCAACGGGUCUGCCACAUUCAGAUCCGUAUGUAUUUUGCAAAAUUCUAUGUCUACAAUGCUCUGCAUGGAGCUACUCUAGCUAAUUGCUCCCACUUUCAAUAUGUAUCCAGAUUGAGACUCGGAAUCAUCCAAAAUGGUGUCAAAGCUUGCAUCGACGUAACUCUUUAUGAUGAACUCUUUAUCACCUCCAUAACCGAGAAAUAUUUCCUUAGUCCUCUAAGGGUAAUUUUGACCGCUGUCUAGUGAUCUACUCCUGGAUCACUAUUGUACCCCUUUGCCAAACUCAUGGCAAGGUACACAUAGGUCUGGUAUAUGGCAUGGCAUACUUUAUAGAACCUAUGGCUGAGGCGUAGGGAAUGACUUUCAUUAUCUCUCUAUUUUCUGCCGUGGUCGGGUUUUGAGUCUUACUCAACUUCAUACCUUACAACUUAGGCAAGAACUCCUUCUUUGACUGAUCCAUUUUGAACUCCUUCAAAAUCUUAUCAAGGUAUGUAAUCAUCGAAAGUCUUAUCAAGCAUCUUGAUCUAUCUUUAUAGAUCCUGAUGCCCAAUAUGUAAGUAGCUUCAGUGAGGUCUUUCUUUGAAAAAAUCCUUUCAAACACUCCUUUAUGCUUUCCGGAAAAAUUCUACAUCAUUUCCGAUCAACAAUAUGUCAUUCACAUAUACUUAUCAGAAAGGUUGUAGUGCUCCCACUCACUUUCUUGUAAAUACAGGCUUCACCGCAAGUCCGUAUAAAACUAUGCUUUGAUCAGCUCAUCAAAGCGUACAUUCCAACUCCGAGAUGCUUGCACCAGUCCAUAGAUGGAUCGCUGGAGCUUGCACACUUUGUUAGCACCAUUAGGAUUGAGAAAACCUUCUGGUUGCAUCAUAUACAACUCUUCUUUAAUAAAUCCAUUAAGGAAUGUAGUUUAGACAUCCAUUUGCCAGAUUUCAUAAAAUGCGGCAAUUUCUAACAUGAUUCGGACAGACUUUAAGCAUCGAUACGAGUGAGAAAAUCUCAUCGUAGUCAACACCUUGAACUUGUCGAAAACUAUCAGUGUCCAUCUUCCUCUUGAAGAUCCAUUUAUUCUCAAUGGCUCGCUGAUCAUCGGGCAAGUCAAUCAAAGUCCAUACUUUGUUCUCAUACAUGGAUCCUAUCUCAGAUUUCAUGGCCUCAAGCCAUUUAUCGGAAUUUGGGCUCAUCAUCGCUUCCUCAUAGUUCGUAGGUUCGUCAUGGUAUAGUAACAUGACUUCCAGAACAGGAUUACCGUACCACUCUGGUGCGUAACAUGCUCUGGUUGACCUACGAGGUUCGGUAGUAACUUGAUCCGAAGUUUCAUGAUCAUUAUCAUUAGCUUCCUCACUAGUUGGUGCAGGCAUCAUGGGAACGGUUUUAUGUGAUGAGCUACUUGCCAAUUUGAGAGGAGGUACAAUUACCUCAUCAAGUUCUACUUUCCUCCCACUCACUUCUUUCGAGAGAAACUCCUUCUCUAGAAAGGAUCCAUUCUUACGAACAAUGAUCUUGCCUUCGGAUCUGUGAUAGAAGGUGUACCCAACAUUUUGCUUUUGGGUAUCCUAUGAAGACGCACUUCUCCGAUUUGGGUUCGAGCUUAUCGGGCUGAAGCUUUUCACAUAAGCAUCGCAACCCCAAACUUUAAGAAACAACAGCUUAGGUUUCUUGCUAACCACAGUUCAUACGGUGUCGUCUCAAUGGAUUUAGACGGUGCCCUAUUUAACGUGAACGCAGCUGUCUCUAAUGCGUAACCCCAAACAAUAGUAGUAAAUCAGUGAGAGACAUCAUAGAUCGCACCAUAUCUAAUAAAGUAUGGUUACGACGUUCGGACACACCAUUAUGCUGUGGUGUUCCAGGUGGCGUGAGUUGUGAUACUAUUCCACAUUGUUUUAAAUGAAGGCCAAACUCGUAACUCAAAUAUUCGCCUCCGCGAUCAGAUCGUAGAAACUUUAUUUUCUUGUUACGAUGAUUCUCCACUUCACUCUAAAAUUCUUUGAACUUUUCAAAUGUUUCAAACUCAUGUUUCAUCAAGCAGAUAUACCCAUAUCUGCUCAAAUCAUCUGUGAAGGUCAGAAAAUAACGAUACCCGCCGCGAGCCUCAACACUCAUCGGACUGCAUACAUCGGUAUGUAUUAUUUCCAAUAAGUCAGUGGGUCGCUCCAUUGUUCCGGAGAACGGAGUUUUAGUCAUGUUGCCCAUGAGGCAUGGUUCCCAAGUAUCAAAUGAUUCAUAAUCAAGUGAUUCCAGAAGUCCAUCCAUAUGGAGUUUCUUCAUGCGCUUUACACCAAUAUGACCUAAACAGCAGUGCCGCAAGUAUGUUGCACUAUCAUUAUCAACUUUGUAUCUUUUGGCAUCAAUAUUAUGAAUAUGUGUAUCACUACGAUCGAGAUUCAAUAAACCAUUUAUAUUGAGUGUAUGACCAUAGAAGGUUUUAUUCAUGUAAACAGAAUCACAAUUAUUCUUUGACUUAAAUGAAUAACCGUAUUGCAAUAAACAUGAUCCAAUCAUAUUCAUGCUCAACUCAAAUACCAAAUAACAUUUAUUUAGGUCCAACACUAUUCCAGAAGGUAGAGGGAGUGUGUGAUGGUGAUCUUAUCAUUCUUGGAAUCACUUCCAACACACAUCGUCACUUCGCCCUCAACUAGUCUCUGUUCAUUUUGUAACUCCUGUUUUCGAGUUACUAAUCUUAGCAACUGAACCGGUAUCAAAUACCCAGGGGCUACUAUGAACACUAGUAAAGUUCACAUCAAUAACAUGUAUAUCAAAUAUACCUUUGUUCACUUUGCCAUUCUUCUUAUCCGCCAAGCAUUUGGGGCAGUUCCGUUUCCAGUGACCAUUCCCUUUGCAGUAGAAGCACUCAGUUUCAGGCUUAGGUCCAGCCUUGGGCUUCUUCACAGGAGUGGCAACUUGCUUGCCAUUCUUCUUGAAGUUCCCUAUAUUUCCCUUGCCCUCUUUUCUCGAAACUACUGGUCUUGUUAACCAUCAACACUUGAUGCUCUUUCUUGAUUUCUUCCUUCGCUGAUUUCAGCAUCGCGAAGAGCUAGGGAAUUGUUUUCGUCAUCCUUGCAUAUUAUAGUUCAUCACAAAGUUCUAGUAACUUGGUGAUAGUGACUAGAGAACUCUGUCAAUCACUAUCUUAUCUGGAAGAUUAACUCCCACUUGAUUCAAGCAAUUGUAGUACCUAGUCAUUCUGAGCACAUGCUCACUAGCUGAGCUAUUCUCCUCCAACUUGUAGGAAAAGUACUUGUGAGAUGUCUCAUACCUCUUGAUACGGGCAUGAGUCUGAAAUACCAAUUUCAGCUCUUGGAACAUCUCAUAUGCUCUGUGGCGUUCAAAACGUUUUUGAAGUCCCGGUUCUAAGCCGUAAAGCAUGGUGCACUAAACUAUCAAGUAGUCAUCAUACCGAGCUUGUCAAACGUUCAUAAUGUCUGCAUCUGCUCGUGCAAUAGGUCUGUCACAUAGCGGUGCAUCAAGGACAUUAUUCUUCUGUGCAGCAACGAGGAUAAUCCUCAGAUCACGGAUCCAGUCCGCAUCAUUGCUACUAUCAUCUUUCAACUUAGUUUUCUCUAGGAACAUAUCAAAAAUAAAACAGGGGAGCUAUACGCGAGCUAUUGAUCUAUAACAUAGAUAUGCAAAUACUAUGAGGACUAAGUUCAUGAUAAAUUAAGUUCAAUUAAUCAUAUUAAUUAAGAACUCUCACUUAGAUAGACAUCCCUCAAGUCAUCUAAAUGAUCACGUGAUCCAUAUCAACUAAAUCAUGUCCGAUCAUCACGUGAGAUGGACUAGUCUUCAAUGGUGAACCUCUCUAUGUUGAUCAUAUCUACUAUAUGAUUCACGUUUGACCUUUCGGUCUCCAGUGUUCCGAGGCCAUGUCUGUACAUGCUAGGCUCGUCAAUUUUAAGACGAGUAUUCCACACGUGCAAAACUGUCUUGCACCCGUUGUAUGUGAACGUAGAGCUUAUCACACCCGAUCAUCACGUGGUGUCUCGGCACGACGAACUAUCGCAACGGUGCAUACUCAGGGAGAACACUUAUACCUUGAAAGUUUUAGUGAGGGAUCAUCUUAUAGUACUACCGCCGUACUAAGCAAAAUAAGAUGCAUAAAAAGAUAAACAUCACAUGCAAUCAAAAUAUGUGACAUGAUAUGGCCAUCAUCAUCUUGUGCCCUUGAUCUCCAUCUCCAAAGCACCGUCAUGAUUCCCAUCAUCACCGGCUUGACACCUUGAUCUCCAUCAUAGCGUCAUUGUCGUCUCGCCAACUAUUGCUUCUACAACUAUCGCUAACGCAUAGUGAUAAAGUAAAGCAAUUACAUGGCGAUUGCAUUUCAUACAAUAAAGCGACAACCAUAAGGCUCCUAGCAAUUGCCGAUAACUUUUACAAAACAUGAUCAUCUCAUACAAUAAUGUAUAUCACAUCAUGUCUUGACCAUAUCACAUCACAACAUGCCCUGCAAAAACAAGUUAGACGUCCUCUACUUUGUUGUUGCAAGUUUUACGUGGCUGCUACGGGCUUCUAGUAAGAAUCGUUCUUACCUACGCAUCAAAACCACAACGACAUUUUGUCAAGUUUGCUGUUUUAACCUUCAACAAGGACCGACCGCAGUCAAAUUCGAUUCAACUAAAGUUGGAGAAACAGACACCCGCCAGCCACCUUUAUGCAAAACUAGUUGCAUGUCUGUCGGUGGAACCGGUCUCAUGAAAGUGGUCAUGUAAGGUUGGUCCGGGCCGCUUCAUCCAACAAUACUGCCGAAUCAAAAUAAGACAUUGGUGGUAAGCAGUAUGACUAUCAUCACCCACAACUCUUUGUGUUCUAGUCGUGCAUAUCAUCUACGCAAAGACCUGGCUUGAAUGCCACUAUUGGGGAAUGCAGCAUGCAAUUUCAAAAAAAUUCCUACACUCACGCAAGAUCUAUCUAGGAGAUGCAUAGCAACGAGAGGAAGAGAGUGUGUCCACGUACCCUCAUAGACCGAAAGUGGAAGCGUUUGACAACGGGGUUGAUGUAGUCGAACUUCUCCUCGUUCCGACCGAUCAAGUACCGAACGUACGGCACCUUCGAGUUCUGCACACAUUCAGCUUGAUGACGUCCGUCGAACUCUUGAUCCAGCAAAGUGUCGAGGGAGAGUUUUGUUAGCACGACGGCGUGGUGACGGUGAUGGUGAAGUGCUCCGUGCAGGGCUUCGCCUAAGCAGUACGUGAAUAUGACCGGAGGCGUAAACUGUGGAGGGGGGCGCCGCACAUGGCUAACAAUGUUUGUUGUGUGUUCUAGCGGUGCCCCCUCAUAUAUAUAGGUUGGUGGGGAGGAGAGGCAGCCAAGUGGGUGCCCCAAGUAGGAGGAAUCCUACUUGGGGUCCUCCCAAUUCAGCCUCCCCCUUUCCUAUUCCUAUUCGGAGUAGGAAGGGAAGAGGGGGAAGGGGGAAUCCUAUUCCUUUUUUCUUUCCUUCUUCCCCUUUCCUUCUACAAUUGGCCAGCCCAUAUGGGGGGGGGCGCACCAGCCCCUUUGUGGCUGGUGUGUUUCCCCUCUUGGCCCAUUAGGCCCAUAUAGCUUGCCGGGGGUUGCCCGGAACCCCUUCCGGUGACCCGAUAAGUACCCGGUACCCCCAGAACACUUCCGGUGUCCGAAUACUAUCGUACUAUAUAUGAAUAUUUACCUCUCGACCAUUUAAAGACUCCUCGUCAUGUCCGUGAUCUCAUCCGGGACUCCAAACAACAUUCGGUCACCAAAUCACAUAACUCAUAUAAUACAAAAUCGUCAUCGAACGUUAAGCGUGCGGACCCUACGGGUUCAAGAACUAUGUAGACAUGACCGAGACACCUCUCCGGUCAAUAACCAAUAGUGGAACCUGGAUGCUCAUAUUGGUUCCUGUAGGAUCGAAAGUAAGUCUAGAGGGGGGGGUGAUUAGACUACUUGACUAAAUAAAAAUCUAGCCUUCUCCCAAUUUUAAGUCUUGGCAGAUUUUAGCAACUUAGUACAAGUCAAGAAUCAACCUAGACAUGCAAUUCUAAGAGUAUAGCAGCGGAAUGUAAAUCAUUGCAUAUGAAGGUAAAGGGGAGGAGUUUGGAGUGAACAAACGCAGUGUAGACACGAAGAUUUUGGCGUGGUUCCGAUAGGUGGUGCUAUCGUACAUCCACGUUGGUGGAGACUUCAACCCACGAAGGGUAACGGUGGCGUGAUUCCAUGGAGGUCUCCACCCACGAAGGGUCCACAAAGAAGCAACCUUUUCUAUCCCACCACGGCCAUCACCCAUGAAGGACUUGCCUCACUAGGGUAGAUCUUCACGAAGUAGGCGAUCUCCUUGCCCGUACAAACUCCUUGGUUCAUCUCCACAAUCUUGACGGAGGCUCCCAAGUGACACCUGACCAAUCUAGGAGACACCACUCUCCAAAAGUUAAUAGAUGGUGUGUUGAUGAUGAAAUCCUUGCUCUUGUGCUUCAAAUGAUAGUCUCCCCAAUACUCAACUCCCUCUCACAGAUAUUGAUAUGGUGGAAAGUUGAUUUGAGUGGAAAGCAACUUGGGGAAGGCUAGAGAUCAAGAUUAUUGUGGUUGGAUUGGAAUGUCUUGGUCUCAAUACAUGAGUAGGUGGUUCUCUCUCAGAAAAUGAAUGCUGGAAGUGUAGGCACGUUUUGAUGGCUCUCUCCACAAAUGGAGGAUGGAUGGAGGGGUAUAUAUAGCCUCCACACAAAAUCUAACCGUUACACACAAUUUACCAAACUCGGUGGGACCGAAUAGUGAAACUCGGUCAGACCGAUAUGGUUCAAAAUGUGAACGUUAGGCUUUUCGGUGGGACCGUCAAGAUCAACUCGGUGGGACCGAUGCGUUAGGGUUAGGCCAUAACUUGAUCUCGGUGAGACCGAUCACAUGAACUCGGUGAGACCGAUUUCAGUAAUAGGCAAACAGAGGGUUGGUCAGGCAAACUCGGUGGGACCGAUUUCUCAUUUCGGUGAGACCGAAACGUUAUGAAAAGGAAACACAGAGUUUGCAUUGCGAACUCGGUGGGACCGAUCGCUCAUCUCGGUUAGACCGAAACAUUACGAAGGGAAACAGAGAGUUUGCAAUCCCAUCUCGGUGAGACCCAGAUCACUAUUGGUGAGACUGAAUUGAUUAGGGUUUCUAGUAGUGGCUAUGUCAAGUGAACUCGGUGGCGCCGGAUAGAUCAAAUCAGUGGGGCCGAGUUUGACUUUAGGUUUAGGACAUAUGUGUAAAUGAGAAAGUGGUUGAGGGCUUUUGGAGCAUAUCACUAAGCAUUUUGAGCAAGCAAGCCAUUAAGCAACACCUCUUCCCCUUUUAAUAGUAUUGGCUUUUCUAUGGACUCAAUGUGAUCACUAAAAUGAAAAUGUAGAGUCUUGAUCUUUUGCCAAUAUGUGUCCUUUGCAUUUUGAGGGGUCCACAUCUCUAGUCCAUGCCAUGCCAAUCAUUGAACUUUCUGAAAUGAUUAUCUUGAAUGGAUAUAGUUCAAUGAGCUAUAUGUUGUUAAGAAUUACCAAAACCACCCAGGGAUUAGUUGCACUUUCAAUCUCCCCCUUUUUGGUAAUUGAUGACAACAUAUAGAUCAAAGUUUUGACAAUUGAUAAUAAGAAUGAAAUACAUCGUCGCUUUGAGAAGUAUGUGAUAAGCAAGAGCUCCCCCUAAAUUUGUGCAUUAUUUAAAAUUUUGCUUUUGAAUGCAAAUACACAAUCGAUUAGGAUCAUGGGUUACUCUUCCAUGUCACAUACAUCUUGGUGGAGCGCUCAAAAUGAUAGAAUAUGAAACAUGCACUCAUCACCAAGACAAAGUGUGAAUGAUCAUACAUGAGAGAUAGAUAAUAUCAUCAUCCAAGCACAAACAUUAAAGUAUGAUAUGAUCAAGCACAUGACCAUACAAGUAUCUCUCACACAUAAAUAGAGUAUCAACCAAACAAGCAACCAAAUAAGUAGCAAGAGAUAGCAAAAAGAAGCAAUUCAAUCUCUCUCUCUCGAAGCCUAUGAUCUAUACACUUUCUCCCCCUUUGGCAACAAGUUACCAAAAAGCUUGAAAAUGCAUAGUGCUAUGCGGCUCUCUAAGCUUGAUCUCUGGGAUCUCCAGAGUGCGAAGGUGGCGUGGAGAGGAGUCCUGCAACGAAUGCAUCUGAUGAAGACUGAGGAACUGGUGGAGUUGCAACUAGAGGAGCAACGGAGGCUGUAGCUGCUGGUGCUGAUGUAGUAGCCCUAGUGUCUGUCACUAGCACUGCUGCAGACCUCUAUGCCCUAGGCACUCUGAAAAACUUCAGUGGUAGCUUUCCCUCUUCCCUCUUCAACUUCAUCCUGGAGCUUCUCAACUGCACUCUGCAUCUAUGUGACCUUCAAGUCUAGAUCAAAGAACUUUGUUUCUAUGAUCCUUUCAAGACUCUCUUGAUUUUGAGUCAGGGUGGCCAAACCUUUCUCAAUCCUCAAGGUAGACUUAAUUAGAUAGCAAAGUUGAUCUUGUUUGGACUUGAGAAAUACUUGGGAUGCCUCUUCAGCACUUGGCAUCUUGGCUGCCUUCUCUGCUUUUGCUUUUUCUCUCUUCUCCUGAGCCUCUACUGAUGUAGGAUGUGAAGCAUCCAUAACAACUAUGUUGCCCUCACGAUCAGGCCUCAAGGGAAGGUGCUCUUUGUCCAGGAGAUACAUGCCUUUGCCCAUCUUGGAGUUGAUGAGCAUCUGAAUGUGUGGAGCAUACCCACAUGAUCUCUUUUGGUUUGCUGCAGUUCUCUUGAUGGUUUCAACUAUCAAGCUCAUCACCUUGAAUUUCUGUGGCACAUCAAAUAAUUGAAGCAGGUUGAUGGAGUGGCCUCUGAUCAUCCCGUGAUCUCCUGAUUUGGGCAACAAGGUGUGCCUCAAAAUGGUGUUCAUGGUGGCCAAUCCAGACAACAGGUAGUACACUGAGCCUAGUCUGUGUGUCUCCAAGGCCCUGUCAGGUAUCUUUUUGUACAUAUUGGCCAUGGAGUUGUGAUCCUUCUUUGGCUUUGCAUAGACAUCAAUGUCAUCCUAAGCUUCUUCCAGAUCAUUGAUGAGCUUGGCCCACUCAGCAACUGUGGACUGGUUCCUUAUACCCACAGACAUCCAGACAAUCUUCCCAUCUGGGUAAAAGUGUGCAGUAGAGUAAAAUUGCAUGAUCAGCUCAUCAUUCCACUUGGUCAAUUUCUGACCCACAAAGGUGUCAAAUCAAUUGAGUCUGAAGCUCUCAUGCACUCCAGGGAAAUGAUCUUCAUUGCUGUCAAUGUACUUCCAAUCCACCCAUUUCAUAUCACACACAAUGGGCUUCUUCUCCAAAAGCACAUUCUCAUAGAAUUCCUGCUGUUCCUUGGUGUGAAAUCUGUAGUCUACAACAGCCCUUCUCCUCACAGCAUAGGGGUCUGAUUGUCUCCAUAGUCUGAGACCUGCAUCCUUUCUCUCCUUCAUGUUUUCAGUUACCGGGUGAUUGUCAUCAUGAUCAGGAAUCUUUGGCUUCAAUUUUCUGAGCACUUGGGAUUCUUCUUCUUCUUCUUCCACUUUAGGCACUUGGGCCUUGUUUUUCUCAACAACAGGGAUAUUUCUAGUGCUUCUCUUUGGAGCAGUCUUUGAAGCUUGAGCAGUGGUCUUGGGGGCAGUCUUGGGCUUUGAUGGAGCAGCCCCAGACUUGAUGGCAUACCCCAUCAACUUCUAACUCUUUGGUUUUGGUGCAGCAUCUUCCUCAUGAUCCUCUUCCUCAUCCUUAGUUGGGUCUCUCAUCAUAGAGGAUCUGCCAAUUUCUCUGGCCAUGGUCUUCUUGACCCUUUCCUUUCUCUUCUUGCCCUCACGAGCCUCUUUUUGUUCAAGAGUGAACUCAAUGGUUUCCUGUGUUGAGGCUCUGGCUUUGGACAUGGGCACUCUCUUGGCAGGAGCUUUCUUGUGCAAACCAGGCUUGGUUGCAGCAGCAGCAUACUCAUUUUUCAGCACUUUCUUGGAGGUGCUUCCUCCUCAACAACAACAUAGUCUUCAUCUUCAGAGUCUGAGUUUCUCUUCUUCCUUGUCCUGGUUGCAGCUUUUGGCAAGUUGCUUGGGGUGCUUCUGCUACCCUCAUCAUAGCUGCCAGAGGGACAAGUGCCCUCACUCAGGUUGACCUGUUCCUCAGACUUGUUCUGGCUGUCACUUUGAUCAGACAUGGCUGAACUGCAAACUGACUUGAAAGCUGACCCUGUGAAUAGAUAUAGUUGAGAUAGAGUGGAUGAGCAUCACAAAGUGCAGAGAUUUUGCAAAACAAUUGAGUCAAGAACUUAGUUUUAGUUUCCUACAGAAAGCAUUUCGGAGCUACCGAUUUGUUGAACUCGAUGACAUCGAAGCAAUAUUAGAGUCUAAAGUAGUGGAAUCGGUCAGACCGAGACAUAGUUCGGUGACUCUGAGAUUGCUAGGGUUUCACUGAGAAUCGAACUCGGUCACACCAAUUCAUAAGUUUCGUUCAGACCAAAAAUUACAAGUGCAAUGGCCUAGGCCAAAUCGGUGAGACCGAUUUCUACAACUCGGUCGGUCCGAGAUGAGUUCGGCGGAAACCUAACCUUAAAUUUUUGAAUCAAAUCUAAUCUAAAGGAUGUUUUUGCUGGAUAGAACAAUCUCAUACGUGGUAAGAAUCAUGGCAUUGACCUAAGUGAAGAACCAGAGGUUAAGAUUGCACAUAGGGGUUGAGUUCAUACCCUAACUCGGCGGUGAAAUCGCUACGGCGACAAAGAUGGCGAAGAUUCCCCAUAGACGGCUGCAGAGACCAGCGGUGGGAGGUCACUGGCGAUGAGGAGACGAUCCAGAGACCUCGAGUCGGCAGAGCAUGAUAUGCGCGGGCGAAGGGUUUCGGAGGAAUUUCCAAAAUUUGACCCGUGGCUAUAUACAUCCCGACCCUGUCGGUGUGACCGAGUGGAACGACUCGGUGGCACCGAGAUGCAGAAUCGCAAGCGGUUACUGCAACUCGGUGUGACCGAACAGUUCAAAUUAGUUGCACCGAGAUUCAAAACCUAGAUCAACUCAAUGAACUCGGUAUGACCAAAAUCGAUGAAUCGGUCAGACCAAAGUACACAGAGAGGUUUUGGAAGUUUAAGUCUAUGACGAAUCGGUUGCUCUGAGUGCUCCUCACCCAGAGGGUUCGAAUCUGACUUGAUCAAACUUUGUGAUGUAGCAUGCAUAGAGUUUGAGACGAGAAAAGCAUAGAUAGCUAGAGGGAGUUCUUAGGCAUUCUUGUCCAUCCAUUUGGCAAAAGAAAAGCCCAAACAAUCGAAGCAACAAAUGGAUGUCCUCGAAUGAGAAAAAUAUGCAAUCAACAUGCUCACACAAUAAGAUGGCAAAUGAAAUAUGUGGCAAAGCAUGCACAAACACUCUAGCAUCUAUCAAGCAAUUGGCGAUGACUAGGUCAUCUAUAUAUGAGUGUAUUGACUGAGGAGUCAAAUGAGAACAUUUUAUCGUAGGUCAUACUCAUCGUUUAAGCACAAGUGGGGUUACCAAUUUUACAUAAAGCAUUGUUGUGUUCACACCAUUAGAGUUGCAUUAGCUAAAUUCUUAGAGUAAAGCUCCCCCUAGAUGUGAUAUCCCCCUAAGAGGGAUGAGCUAACCUUGGGUUUUGUCGAUGAUGACUUCAUGUAGAUGUUGAAGAUGUAGAUGCUCAAUGUUGAUGUAGAUUAUUUGGAGCAAUCCAUUGGAGUGAGUUGCACUUUCAAUACCUACAUGGGUUAGUCCCACAAGGAACAAACAAGGAUAUCCAUACACAUAGAGUGAAGUACACAUAGGACGAUUUCCAUGAAAGCAUUAGGUUACUGUAGGAUCGAAAAGUAUGUCUAGAGGGGGGGGUGAUUAGAAUACUUGACCAAAUAAAAAUCUAGCCUUUUCCCAAUUUUAAGUCUUGGCAGUUUUUAGCAACUUUGCAUAAGUCAAGCAAUCAACCUACACAUCCAAUUCUAAGAGUAUAGCAGCGGAAUGUAAAACAAUUGCAUAUGAAGGUAAAGGGAGGAGUUUGGAGGGAGCAAACGCAAUGUAGACACGGAGAUUUUUUAUCCGUGGUUCCGAUAGGUGGUGCUAUCGUACAUCCACGUUGAUGGAGACUUCAACCCACGAAGGGUAACGGUUGCGCGAGUCCACGGAGGUCUCCACCCACGAAGGGUCCACGAAGAAGCAACCUUGUCUAUCCCACCAUGGCCAUCGCCCACGAAGGACUUGCCUCACUAGGGUAGAUCAUCACAAAGUAGGCGAUCUCCUUGCCCUUACAAACUCCUUGGUUCAACUCCACAAUAUUGACGGAGGCUCCCAAGUGACACCUAACCAAUCUAGGAGACACCACUCUCCAAGAGGUAAUAGAUGGUGUGUUGAUGAUGAACUCCUUGCUCUUGUGCUUCAAAUGAUAGUCUCCCCAACACUCAACUCUCUCUCAUAGGAUUGGAUUUGGUGGAAAGAUGAUUUGAGUGGAAAGCAACUUGCGGAAGGCUAGAGAUCAAGAUUUAUGUGGUUGGAAUGGAAUAUCUUGACCUCAACACAAGUGUAGGUUGUUCUCUCUCAGAAAUUGUAUGUUGGAAGUUUAGGCAUGUUCUGAUGGCUCUCUCCACGAAUGAAGAGUGGGUGGAGGGGUAUAUAUAGCCUCCACACAAAAGCUAACCGUUACACACAAUUUACCAAACUCGGUGGGACCGAUUCAGAGAACUCGGUCAGACCGAUUUAGUUCAAAAUGUGAAUGUUAGGAUUUUCGGUGGGACCGACAUGUCAACUUGGUGGGACCGAUGUCAUUAGGGUUAGGGCAUAACGUAAUCUCGGUGAGACCGAUUACACAAACUCGGUUGGACCGAUUUUGGUAACAAGCUAACCAGAGAGUUGGUCAGGCAAACUUGGUGGGACCGAUUCGCUCAUUUUGGUUGGACCGAAACGUUACGAAGGAGAAACAGAGAGUUUGCAUUGCAAUCUCGGUGGGACCGAUCGCUCAUCUCGGGGACCAAAACAUUACAAAGGGAAACAGAGAGAUUACAAUCCCAUCUUGGUGAGACCGAGAUCCCUAUCGGUGAGACCAAAAAGACUAGGGUUUGUGGCAGUGGCUAUGUCAAGUGAACUCGGUGGCGCCGGAUAGAUCAAAUCGGUGGGGCCGAGUUUGACUUUUGGUUUGGGACAUAAGUGGAUAUGAGAAAGUAGUUGAGGGUUUUUUGGAGCAUAUCACUAAGCAUUUUGAGCAAGAAACUCAUUAAGCAACACCUCACCCCCUCUUAAUAGUAUUAGCUUUUCCUAUGGACUCAAUGUGAUCUUGGAUCACUAAAAAUAAAAUGUUGAGUCUUGUGCUUUGAGCUUGAGCCAAUCCUUUUGUCCUUAGCAUUUUGAGGGGUCCACUUUCUUAACCCAUGCCAUGCCAAUCAUUGAGCUUUCCUGAAAUAUUUAUCUUGAAAUAGCAUUAGCUCAAUGAGCUAUAUGUUGUUAGGAAUUACCAAAACCACCCAGGGAUAGUUGCACUUUCAAUCCCCCCCUUUUUGGUAGUUGAUGACAACAUAUAGACCAAAGCUUCGAAAAAUGAUCAUAAGAUUGAAAAACAUCGUCGCUUUGAGAAGUAUGUGAUAAGCAAGAGCUCCCCCUAAAUUUGUGCAUUAUUUAAAAUUUGCUUUUGAAUGCAAAUGCACAAUCGAUUAGGAUCAUGGGUUACUCUUCCAUGUCAAAUACAUCUUGGUGGAGCGCUGAAAAUGAUAGAAAUUGAAAGCAUGCACUCAUCACCAAGCCAGUGAAUGAUCAUAUAAGGAUAUAAUAGAUAGUAUCAUCCAACAACCAUUAAGGUAGCAUAUUAUCAAACACAUGAUCAAACAAGUAUCUCACAAGGACAUAAAGUAUCUCACACAAGCACACAAUCGAGAAGUUCAACCAAAAUAGCAAGAGAGAUAAAAAGCAACACUCUCUCUCGAAGCCUAUGAUCUAUACAUCUCCCCCUUUGGCAACAAGUUACCAAAAAGCUAAAAAAUGCAUAGUGCUAAACGUCUCUCAGGCUUGAUCUUUGGGAGGUGGUGUAGAGAGAACUCCAAGGACCAAGGCAUCCGUUGAUGUAGCUGGAGCUGGUGGAGUGGCUGCGGGAGGUGGCACUGGAGCUGUAGCUGCUGGUGCUGAUGCUGUAGCUCUAGAAUCUCUCACUGAUACUGCAGCAGACCUCUGUCCUCUAGGCACUCGCUCAAAUGCAUCAGUAGUUGCCUUGCCUUUCUUCUCUUCUAUUUCCUCCUGAAGCUGCUCAACUGCUGUUUGAAUCUCAGUUACCUUCAGAUCAAGAUCAUAAAAUUUGGUUUCUAUGAUCCUCUCCAAGCUCUCCUGGUUUUGAGUCAGGGUGGCCAAGCCCUUCUCAAUCCUCAGUGUCGACUGGAUCAGAUAUGCAAGUUGAUCUUGCUUGCUCUUCAGGAAAAUUUGAGAUGCCUCUUCAACACUUGGCAUCUUGGCAGCUUUCUCAGCCUUUGCUUUGGCUCUCUUCUCCUGUGCUUGAAUAGAUGUGGGGUCUUCCUCAUUCAUCACGACAGUGUUGUCUUCAAAACAGGAUGCAAAGGAAGGUGCUCCUUGUCGAACAGAUAUGUUCCUGUGCCCAUCUUGGAGUUGAUGAGCUCCUGAAUGUGUGGAGCAUACCCACAGCUUCUCUUCUGAUCAGCAGCUAUCCUCUUGAUUGUUUCCACAAUCAAACUCAUAACCUUGAACUUCUGAGGCACAUCAAACAAGUGUAGCAAAUUGAUAGCAUGUCCUCUGAUCAUCUUGUGAUCUCCAGACUUGGGUAGCAAUUAGUGCCUAAGGAUCCAGUUGAUGGUAGGCAGACCAGAUGUAGCGACCAGACCUCAAACAGUCUGUGCUCUGUGCACCAGUGCCAUCCCUGGAUCAGUAAUGCUGACACGCACAGUACUUGGAGGAUUUAUAACAGAGUAGCAAUCACACACUUAUUACAAAGUAUGCACCUUACGAUCAGUAAUGCUGACACGCACAGUACUUGGAGGAUUUAUAACAGAGUAGCAAUCAGUAAUGCUGACACGCACAAUACUUGAGAAACGGAUGACCGAGACAUAGUCUUUCAGAAAUGUUUGCACCUUACGACCGGGUAGACCGUACCACCUACAUCCCCUACAUCUGCUAGUCUACCACUGUAAGAGUUCACACGACUUAAUCAACAAUGCUAGAGCCCAUAAUAGCUUGUGGCUGCACACAGAAGUUUCUAGCAUGAAUAAUCUCAUGAUCCCUUUGAGCUUGGGUGGCGGUCCAUAAAAGAAACAGGCAAUCACUGGAAUACCCAGGUGCCUCAAUCCACCCAGAUGUGUGUUUAAGUUGCCACCUUAAGUAAACCAUUAAUUACAAUCUCACAUCUGUCAUGGAUACACUCACCCAAUCCACGUCUACUAGCAUAGCAUAGCAAUAUGAGCAAACGUAGAAGUAACUCCCAAAGGUUUGAUAAUAAAACAGGUAAUAGGUACUACCUCAUCUACUUCCCGAUUCCCACAAUUUAAUUAGAUCCUAAUCAUGCAAUGUUUGAGGAUUGAUCAAAUGCAAUAAAACUGGGUAGUAAAGAGGUGUGAUCAAAGUGUUACUUGCCUUGCUGAUGAUCCGUGAAACCUAGAGAUUCGAAGUAGCAAGCGGCGCAUUCCGGGUACUCUAUCACAAACAAACAAGCAUACAAUAAGCACUCAUCUAAUGCACAAGCAAAACUCAAAUAAAAGAUCUAACCAGAAAGUUCAACUUAAGAACUCCAGUUUGCAAAAAGAAUCAAAUCAAAUGAAGCAACAAAAGUCAAACGGCAAAAGAAACAAGCUUCGUUUACUAAUCUGGAUCUAGGUCAAAUUUUACAGUAGCAAAAACUUGUUUGAGUUGGUUAAACGGAAAGAGAAUUUUGAGAUGAAACUCUAGGCGCUUGAAUCGCCUGAUUCCGAUAAACGAGCGAAAAGUUAUACUAGAAGGAAAAAUCGGAUCAGAAAUCGCGAUCUGGAAUAAUCGCGGAAAAUCCGAGAAAAAGAAAAACUGAUGAACAGUUUAACGAACGGACAUUCGUUAACUGCAACUAAACGAUGAACGCGUUUGUUAAAAUGAACGAACGAGCGAAUGCUUGCUAUUUAACUAAACCGAGAAAAAUAAAUAAACCGAUCUAAUAAAUAAGAAAAAACCUAGGGUUUUCUAAAAAAACCCGAAUCGGUUUUCUUUGGAAAACCGGGCGGCUACCUCGGCUCGGGGCUCCAGCGAAGUCCGGCGGCUCCGGGGGGCGACGGGGCUGCGGGCGUCGGCGUCGGGCGUCGGGACGGGCGGCGGUGGCGACGGCGUCNNNNNNNNNNNNNNNNNNNNNNNNNNNNNNNNNNNNNNNNNNNNNNNNNNNNNNNNNNNNNNNNNNNNNNNNNNNNNNNNNNNNNNNNNNNNNNNNNNNNNNNNNNNNNNNNNNNNNNNNNNNNNNNNNNNNNNNNNNNNNNNNNNNNNNNNNNNNNNNNNNNNNNNNNNNNNNNNNNNNNNNNNNNNNCGAUCUGGAGACGACGGCGGAAGGCGGUGGCGCUGCGGGCCGGCCUGGCUCGGCUGGGCUUCGGCCCAGUUGGGCGCGCGGUUUUUUUAAAAUAAUUUCCCACAGAAAAACAAACAAAAGAAAUACUAAACGAACUCCAAAAAUCCCGAAAUGAAUUUUCCCCAACUUCUAAAAUCAAGCCGGACAAGAUGAACAUUUAUUUGGGGCCUAUAUGCAAUUUUGAAAAACGCGCAUUUUUCCUAGCCAAAUAAAAUAGCGAAAAACUCCAAAAUAAAAUCUUAUUUGAUUUUUUUAUUAAAUCCUCAAUAUUCCUUUAUUUUUGGAAAGUCAUUUUAUUCCCUCUCUCAUAUUGUUAUAAUUGGAAUAAUUGAAGAUAAAAUAAAUAAAAUCAAAUGAUCCUAUUUUCAAAAUUUGAGAAAACUCAAAUAUGAAAAUAACGAAAUUCCCAACUCUCUCCUGUGGGUCCUUGAGUUGCGUAGAAUUUUCUAGGAUCUAGCCAAAAUGCAAUAAAAUAUGAUAUGCAAUGAUGAUCUAAUGUAUAACAUUCCAAAUUGAAAAUUUGGGAUGUUACGAACCUACCCCCUUCAGAUGAAUCUCGCCCUCGAGAUUCGGGUUGGCUAGAAAAUAGGUGAGGGUGGUCCUUCCGUAGAUCUUCCUCUCGUUCCCAGGUGGCUUCAUCUUCGGUGUGGUGGCUCCACUGAACUUUGCAGAACUUGAUAACCUUGCUGCGCAUGACUCGACUGGCAUACUCGAGAAUCUUGACUGGUUUCUCCUCAUAAGUCAAAUCACUAUCCAACUGAAUCGCUUCCAGUGGCACUGUAUCUCUCAGCGUUAUAUCAGCCAUCUCUGCGUGGCACUUCUUCAACUGGGAAACGUGGAACACAUCGUGAACUCCUGACAAUACUUCGGGUAAUUCCAACUUGUAAGCAACUUCUCCCAUACGCUCCAAAACUUUGUAUGGUCCUACAAAACGUGGCGCUAAUUUUCCUUUAACUCCAAAGCGCUUAACUCCUCGAAGUGGGGACACACGAAGAUAAACUCUGUCUCCGACUUCGUAAACUGUCUCCUUGCGUUUAGAAUCCGCAUAGCUCUUUUGCCUGGAUUGGGCUACCUUGAGCCUAUCGCGAAUCAAUUUCACCUUCUGUUCUGAUUCCUUAAUCAAAUCUGGUCCAAACAACUAGCGGUCUCCAACUUCGUCCCAUAACAAUGGUGUUCUACACCUCCUUCCGUUCAAAGCUUCGAAAGGGGCCAUCUUCAAACUGGUUUGAUAGCUGUUGUUGUAAGAGAACUCUACAUAUGGCAAGUUAUCGUCCCAACUAGAUCCAUAAUCUAGCGCACAAGCUCUCAGCAUGUCCUCCAAAAUCUGAUUGACUCUCUCAGUCUGUCCAUCUGUCUAUGGAUGAAAAGCUGUACUGAAUUCUAGCCUGGUUCCCAAAGUUUCAUGUAACUGAUUCUAGAACUUUGAGGUAAACUGGGUUCCUCUAUCUGAUACAAUGCUCCUCGGAACUCCAUGCAGACAUACGAUUCUGGUCAUGUAUAUCUUUGACAACUUAGCAUCGGUGUAAGUGGUCUUUACUGGGAUGAAAUGAGCUACCUUCGUCAAACGAUCGACUACAACCCAUAUUGAGUCAUAGCCUGAACGAGUCCUGGGCAAUCCCGUGAUACAUGCCUAGUUUAUCCCACUUCCAUUCGGGUAUCAGCAAUGGCUGUAGCAAUCCUGCUGGCUUCUGGUGCUCUGCCUUCACUUUCUGACAUACAUCACAAACUGCUACAUAUUCCGCAAUAUCCUUCUUCAUUCCGGUCCACCAGAAAGUAUCCUUCAAAUCCAAAUACAUCUUGGUAUUUCCUGGGUGAAUCGAAUACGGCAAAUCAUGGGCCUCUUGCAAGAUCAACUUCCUGAUCUCCGGAUCAUUGGGCACAUAAACGCGGUCCUCAAACCAUAAGGUAUCGUGCUCAUCCUCGCGAAAUCCCUUGGCUUUUCCUUUGCUCAUCUUUUCCUUUAUCUCAGCAAUCUCCUUGUCUGCCUUCUGGGCUUCUCUGAUCUUUUCCAUCAAGGUAGACUAAAUCUCCAAUGUUGCUACAUAGCCUCUCAGAACUAUUUCCAAACAUAGCUCGCGAAGAUCCUCGGCUAACUCCUGGGGUAACUCUCCUGUCAUGAGUGUGUUGACAUGGCUCUUGCGGCUCAACGCAUCAGCUACUACGUUAGCCUUUCCGGGGUGAUAAUGCAAUCUCAUAUCAUAAUCCUUUAUGAGCUCCAACCAUCUCCUUUGCCUGAGAUUCAACUCCUUCUGCGUGAAGAUGUAUUUCAAACUCUUGUGAUCCGUGUACACCUCACAGUGGUUUCCGAUGAGAAAAUGUCUCCAUGUCUUCAACGCAUGUACUACGGCUGCUAACUCCAAAUCAUGCGUAGCGUAAUUUAAUUCAUGAGGCUUAAGCUGUCGUGAAGCAUAUGAAACAACUCUUCCUUCCUGCAUAAGCACUGCUCCAAGUCCUCGACGAGAAGCAUCACAGUAAACUUCAUAAUCCUUGUGCUGAUCUGGCAGAAUCAACACUGGUGAUGUAACCAAACGUUCCUUCAACUCUUGGAAACUAGCCUCACAUUCCUCAGUCCAAUUGAACUUGGUGUCUUUCUUCAAUAACUCAGUCAUGGGCUUUGCAAUCUUCGAGAAAUUCUCAAUGAAUCUCCGGUAGUAUCCCGCGAGUCCAAGAAAACUCCGGAUCUCUCCAACUGACGUGGGUGAUUCCCAAUUUGUCACAGUGACAACUUUGGUGGGGUCUACUGCUAUUCCUUCUCCGGAUAUAACAUGUCCGAGGAAUCCAACUUCCUUCAACCAAAACUCACAUUUGCUGAACUUGGCGUAUAACUGAUGUUCUCUGAGCUUCUCAAGUACCAAACGCAAAUGUUCCUUAUGCUCCUCUUCAUUUUUCGAGUAGACUAAUAUGUCAUCAAUGAACACCACGACGAACUUAUCCAGAAACUCCAUAAACACUUUGUUCAUCAGGUUCAUGAAAUAGGCAGGUGCGUUAGUCAGACCAAAUGACAUAACGGUAUACUCGUACAACCCAUACCUGGUGUUAAAAGCCGUCUUAGGUAUAUCCUGCUCUCGAAUCUUCAACUGGUGGUAUCCUGAUCGCAGAUCGAUCUUGGAAAAUACCUUAGCUCCUUGUAAUCGAUCAAACAAAUCAUUGAUCAUCGGCAGUGGGUACUUGUUCUUGAUGGUCACUUCAUUCAGUCCUCGAUAAUCAACAACCAUCCUUAACGAUCCAUCCUUCUUCUCCACUAGGAGCACUGGCGAUCCCCAAGGUGAAGAACUUGGGCGAAUAUAGCCUUUAUCCAGCAACUCCUUAAUCUGCUUCUUAAUCUCCUCCAAAUCCUUUGCGGGCAUCCUGUACGGUCUCUUAGAUAGUGGCCCUGUGCCUAGCAAAAGCUCAAUCAAAAACUCAAUGUCUCUAUCCGGUGGCAUGCCUGGCAACUCCUCUGGAAAUACAUCAAGGAAAUCCUUCACCACCAGUACUUCCUCCUGUACAACUCCUGAUAAGGAAUUUACUUGAGUCCUCUUCUGCACAUGCCGGGAUACAUACUUAAUCCUUCUUCCUUCUGGGGUGGUAAGCAAAAUCGACUUACUGGCGCAUUCAAUGUUCCCUCCAUACUUCGAUAACCAAUCCAUGCCUAAUAUCACAUCCAGUCCUUGCGAUUCCAAUACUAUUAGGUCUGAGGGAAACACGUAGUUACCAAUCCUUAAUGGUAACCGAUCACACCAUAGACUAGCCAUAUACUCUACUCCUGGCGAGGUUACUAACAUGGGUGACCUAAGGGCUUGGGUUGGCAAUUUAUACUUAUCCACAAACCCCCUUGAUAUGUAUGAAUGCGAUGCACUAGUAUAAAAAAGAACGAGUGCAGUAAAUGACUUAACCAAAAACUUACCUAUUACUGCAUCAGGCUGUGCUUCAACGUCCUCCACGUAAACGUGGUUCACAUGUCCUUUAUUGAAAGGGUUAGGCUUCUUCUCAGAGCUUCCAUUUCCAUUUCCAUUUUUAGCUUCGGGACAUUCAUUAGCAUAAUGUCCAAUCUUCUGGUACUUGUAGCAAGUGACUUGGCUCAGAUCUCUCUUAGCUGGGGUCGAUGGGUUGUUACGGUUCUGUCCGUUGCUUCCUCCAUUCCCAUUACCAUUUUUGGGUCCACUAUGGUUGUGCGAACCUCCUCCAUGGGUAUGCUGAAAAGGUCCUCCCGAAUUCGGGGUAAAACGUGGCUUCUGAUGAGCUCCAGAAUUGUACUUCCCUUGUCCAUACUUCCUCUUGCGCCUUUCAAUCUGCUGCUGCUUCCCUUCAAUAAUUAGAGCUCUAUCUACCAACUCCUGGUAGUUGUUGAAGGUUGCUACCAUCAACUGCAUGCUCAGCUCAUCAUUCAGUCCUUCCAGAAACUUCUCCUGCUUGGCGGCAUCUGUAGCAACGUCAUCUGGGGCAUAACGUGCUAACUUACUAAAGUCCUCCACAUACUGGCCUACGGUGCGUCCUCCUUGGCAUAGGUUGUGAAACUCACGCUUCUUCAUAGCCAUAGCUCCUGCUGAAACAUGGGCAGUACGGAAAGCUUGCUGAAACUGAUCCCAUGUGACAGUGUCAAUAGGGUGUGUGGCUGUGUAAUUCUCCCACCAUGAUGCUGCGGGUCCAUCAAGCUGAUGUGCGGCAAAACGCACUCUCUCCGCAUCUGUGCAUCCUGCGGUGGUUAGCUCCCUCCCAACCUUGCGGAGCCAAUCAUCUGCAACAAUUGGCUCGGUGCUGCUGGAAAACACCGGCGGAUUCAACCUCAAGAAAUGGGCCAAAUGGUCAACAUGUGGUGGUGGCUUGUUGUUGUUGUUGUUGCCUUGGUUCUGUACUAACACUUGCAUUAGGGCAUUCUGCUGCUGAAUCAACUGAGUGAUCUCCGGUGGGAAAACAAAUCCGGUGUCGCGUCUCGGAGGCAUCUGAUGGGUUUAGAAAAGAUGAGAAUUUAGAAUAGAAUGAGAUCUAGAGGGAAAACACUACCCAUAUGCACAUGAGACAAACACGAUCAAUAUCACUCAUAUCAAUUCAAACAAGGCAUACAAUCGAUCUAACUAUCGUUACAAAGUGCUCGGACUAUACUAUAUACAUGGGGGAAAUACUACUACUGAUAUGGUGGUCUACUAGAAAUUUUGAUCGGUUGAAGACUCCAUGAUAUCUGCUCCAGCUUCAUCAACAAAGUCAUCUUCACUGGGGUCCGAGUCGGUGUCGUCGAUGAUGAUGUAGUUCUCCGGGCAAGUAGAAUCGUCGUCUUCUCCUCCUGGAGCUGGGUCUCCCAUGAAUACUCCGAUCUUCUUUUCCAAGUCGUCAUUUUUCUCCAACAACGUGGCGAUCUCCUCCUCAUAUCCAUCGCGCGUAGACUUGAGUUCUUCCUCCAACUCCGUGAUCUUGGUCAACGCCUUCUUCAGAUCUAUCAUGCCUGCGCACAUUUGGUUCUCCUGGCGACGAAUGUGCUGGUUUAACUCCUGGAUGAAAGCUGCAAUUGAUCUAUCCUUCUUGGUGCUGAUCAUCUCCCAUUGCUCAUCUCGGCGCCCACAAAUCUGGUAGAUAGUAUCCUUUAGCUCCUUGUGGUACACUUCUCCAAUGCGUCCCAUGGUGAUGUGGGCUGCCAUGCUCUUUCCUAGACUCCAAGUUGGUGCAUCAAAGGAAAACUCUAUAGGCUCAGUGACUGGCAUGAACGUCCUUCUUGGAACUUGAACUUGAAUCAUCCAGUGCUCUUAUUCUGGUAGUGUGGCGUUGUAGGUUCCGGUGAAGCUUGGAAUACCGAUGUUCAGAUAUCUAGUGACUUCCUUCAAGUGGCGUCCAAAAGGUGUUAUCUUCAUCUGGUUGCAUGAACUUGUUCCUUGCAUUCACCAUCCUAAAAGAGUAGAAAGUGGAGAGGAGUCAAAAAUGAGAAGAGAGUAGUGUUCUAGGGUUUAAGCUUAGUGGUCGUGUCCUACAGUCAGCAUGUGCUCUGACACCACCUUGUAGCGACCAGACCUCAAACAGUCUGUGCUCUGUGCACCAGUGUCAUCCCUGGAUCAGUAAUGCUGACACGCACAGUACUUGGAGGAUUUAUAACAGAGUAGCAAUCACACACUUAUUACAAAGUAUAUGGCUUAAGGCCAUCUAAAUACGAUAACAGCGGAAGACUUGGAAGAGAAGUGAGUCCAUCAACUCCAACGGCAUCACUGAGUAUAAGACCACGACCUACGGCACCUUACUCAUCGUCUGAAAAGUCUGCAACAUGAAACGUUGCAGCCCGAAAACGGGCCAGCACAUGGAAUAUGCUGGCAAUGUAACACAUAGAGAGUAAUGAACAGAAUAAGGCUGUCACUACAUGCAUAUUUGGUUGGUGGAAAGCUCUAUGGUUACCGUUUUUGCGAAAAGCCAAUUUUUCCCUACUGCAAAGAAAUAAAUUUUAUUUAACUAUCAUGGUGGUUGUUAAACAUUGAGAUGGUUGACAGCAUCUCAAUCCCAAUUAAGUAUCAUCCUUAACCCAACAAGAUUAAUCAAAGUAACAUGAUGAGAUUGACAUGAUAAUCCAAGUACUAGAUACUCAAGAUGUCCAUAACCGGGGACACGGCUAACCAUGAUUAGUUUAUACACUCUGCAGAGGUUUGUGCACUUUUCCCCACAAGACUCGAUCUCCUCUGUUAGGAUUCUCGCACUACAUGAUGUUUGAGAAACGGAUGACCGAGACAUAGUCUUUCAGAAGUGUUUGCACCUUACGAUCGGGUAGACCGUACAACCUACAUCCCCUACAUCUGCUAGCCUACCACUGUAAGAGUUCACACGACUUAAUCAACUAUGCUAGAGCCCAUAAUAGCUUGUGGCUGCACACGGAAGUUUCUAGCAUGAAUAAUCCCAUGAUCCCUUUGAGCCUGGGUGGCGGUCCAUAAAAGAAACAGGCAAUCACUGGAAUACCCAGGUGCCUCAAUCCACCCAGAUGUGUGUUUAAGUUGCCACCUUAAGUAAACCAUUCAUUACAAUCUCACAUCUGUCAUGGAUACACUCACCCAAUCCACGUCUACUAGCAUAGCAUAGCAAUAUGAGCAAACGUAGAAGUAAGUCCCAAAGAUUUGAUAAUAAAACAGGUAAUAGGUACUACCUCAUCUACUUCCCGAUUCCCACAAUUUAAUUAGAUCCUAAUCAUGCAAUGUUUGAGGAUUGAUCUAAUGCAAUAAAACUGGGUAGUAAAGAGGUAUGAUCAAAGUGUUACUUGCCUUGCUGAUGAUCCGUGAAACCUAGAGAUUCGAAGUAGCAAGCGGCGCACUCUGGGUACUCUAUUGCAAACAAACAAGCAUACAAUAAGCACUCAUCUAAUGCACAAGCAAAACUCAAAUAAAAGAUCUAACCAGAAAGUUCAACUUAAGAACUCCGGUUUGCAAAAAGAAUCAAAUCAAACGAAGCAACGAAAGUCAAACGGCGAAAGAAACAAGCUUCGUUUACUAAUCUGGAUCUAAGUCAAAUUUUACAGUAGCAAAAACUUGUUUGAGUUGGUUAAACGGAAAGAGAAUUUCGAGCCGAAACUCUAGGCGCUUGAAUCGCCUGAUUCCGAUAAACGAGCGAAAAGUUAUAUUAGAACGAAAAAUCGGAUCAGAAAUCGCGAUCUGGAAUAAUCGCGGAAAAUGCGAGAAAAAGAAAAACUGACGAACAGUUUAACGAACGGACGUUCGUUAACUGCAACUAAACGAUGAACGCGUUCGUUAAAACGAACGAACGAGCGAACGCUCGCUAUUUAACUAAAUCGAGAAAAAUAAAUAAACCGAUCUAAUAAAUAAGAAAAAACCUAGGGUUUUCUAAAAAAAACCGAAUCAGUUUUCAUUGGAAAACCGGGCGGCGGCGGCUACCUCGGCUCGGGGCUCCGGCGAAGUCCGGCGGCUCCGGGGGGCGACGGGAGGCGGCGUGGGGCGGCGGGGUUGCGGGCGUCGGCGGCGAGACGACGGGNNNNNNNNNNNNNNNNNNNNNNNNNNNNNNNNNNNNNNNNNNNNNNNNNNNNNNNNNNNNNNNNNNNNNNNNNNNNNNNNNNNNNNNNNNNNNNNNNNNNNNNNNNNNNNNNNNNNNNNNNNNNNNNNNNNNNNNNNNNNNNNNNNNNNNNNNNNNNNNNNNNNNNNNNNNNNNNNNNNNNNNNNNNNNNNNNNNNNNNNNNNNNNNNNNNNNNNNNNNNNNNNNNNNNNNNNNNNNNNNNNNNNNNNNNNNNNNNNNNNNNNNNNNNNNNNNNNNNNNNNNNNNNNNNNNNNNNNNNNNNNNNNNNNNNNNNNNNNNNNNNNNNNNNNNNNNNNNNNNNNNNNNNNNNNNNNNNNNNNNNNNNNNNNCGGUGGCGACAGCGUCGGGCGGUGGUGCGGCUCCCGCGGCGGGGCGGGUUCCGGCGGCGGGCUGCGGGUUUGGUGGCGGGGUGAGGGGCGGCGGCGGUGGCUAUUUAAGGGAGAGGGGGCGACGCGGCUUGGGGAAGGGGGCGCCUCGGGAGGCGUGCUCCUCCCAGACUCGGGCGGCGGCGGCGGUCUCCGAUCCGAAGACGACGGCGGAAGGUGGUGGCGCUGCGGGCCGGCCUGGCUCGGCUGGGCUUCGGCCCAGUCGGGCGCGCGGUUUUCUUUUAAAUAAUUUCGCGCAGAAAAACAAACAAAAGAAAUACUAAACGAACUCCAAAAAUCCCAAAAUAAAAUUUCCCCGAGUUCUAAAAUCAAGCCAGACAAGAUGAACAUUUAUUUGGGGCCUAAAUGCAAUUUUGGAAAACGCGCAUUUUUCCUAGCCAAAUAAAAUAGCGAAAAACUCCAAAAUAAAAUCUUAUUUGAUUUUUUUUAUUAAAUCCUCAAUAUUCCUUUAUUUUGGUAAAGUCAUUUUAUUCCCUCUCUCAUAUUGUUAUAAUUGGAAUAAUUGAAGAUAAAAUAAAUAAAAUCAAAUGAUCCUAUUUUCAAAAUUUGAGAAAACUCAAAUAUGAAAAUAACGAAAUUCCCAACUCUCUCCUGUGGGUCCUUGAGUUGCGUAGAAUUUUCUAGGAUCUAGCCAAAAUGCAAUAAAAUAUGAUAUGCAAUGAUGAUCUAAUGUAUAACAUUCCAAAUUAAAAAUUUGGGAUGUUACACCAGACAACAAGAAGUGUACAGAUCCAAGCUUGUGAGUCUCCAAAGCUUUAUAUGGGAUCUCUCUGUACAUGUGUGCCAUAGUGUUGUGGUCUUUCUUCUUGGUGGCAUACACAUCCAAGUCAUCUUCAUGUUCUUCAGGGUCAUUGAUCAGCUUGGCCCAUUCUUCAACUGUGGAUUGGUAUCUAGUACCUUCUGACAUCCAAACUAUCUUCCCAUCUGGGUAACAGUGAGCAGUGGAGUAAAACUGCAUGAUCAGCUCAUCAUUCCAUUUUUUGAGCUUCUGAGCCACAAAUUUAUCAACUCCACAUGAUUUGAAGCUGUCAUAAACUCCUGGAAAGUGAUCUUCAUUCUCUUUGAUGAAUUCCUAAUCCACCCAUCUCAUGUCACAUACAAUGGGCUUCUUGUCAAGCAAAAUGGUUUCAUAGAAAUCUUGUUGUUCCUUUGUGUGAAACAUGUAAUCAACUGUAGUCCUCCUCCUCACAGCAUAAGGAUCAGACUGUCUCCACAGUCUCAGUCCAGCAUCUUUUAUGAUGGGCAUGUCUUCAGCCACUGGAUGAGCAUCAUUGUGGUCUGGAAUCUUGGGCUUCAACUUCCUCAAAACAAGUGAAUCAUCUUCUUCUUCUUCUUCAGCUUCAGGCACUGGGGCCUUGUUCUUUUCCUCAACGGGUAUACUUCUAGUGUUUCUCUUGGGUUUUGGGGGCUUCUGAGUUUGAGCUUUGGGAGCAGACUUGGGCUUUGAUGGAGCAGCACCUGAUCUGAUUGCAUCUCCCAUAAGCUUAUGAGCUUUGGGUGCUGGUGCAGCAUCCUCUUCCUCUUCCUCUUCUCCUUCAGAAUGUCUCUUCAUUGAGGGUUUGCCAAGAACUCUGGCUGUUGUAGUUCUUGCCCUCUUCUUCUUCUUGUCCUCACCAGCUGCUUCUUCUUCAGAUUCAAUGGUGAACUUCAUAGUUUCUCCUGUUGCAACCUUCCUUGGCUUGGACAUUGGCACUCUUCUUGCUGGAGCCUUUGUUUUCAUUCCGGGCUUACUUGCAGCAGCUGUGCCAUACUCCUUUUUCAGCACCUUUUUCCUUGAAGUGGCCUCAUCCUCAACAGCCACAUAAUCCUCAUCCUCAGAAUCUGAGGUUCUCUUUUUCCUUGUCCUGGUGGCUGCCUUUGGCAAGUUACUGGGUGUGCUCCUACUGCCCUCAUCAUAGUUGCUGGAGGGACUAGUGCCCUCACUCAUUUGAACCUGCUCUUCAGACUUGUUCUGGCUGUCACUUUGAUCAAACAUCUCUGCAAACUAUUUGACAGUAGACCCUAUGGAUGGAUGUAGAUGAGGUAGAGUGGAUGAGCAUCACAAAGUGCAGAGUUUUUUUUUUGCAAAAUAGAUGACUUAAAAACUUAGUUUUAGUUCUUCACAGAAAGCAUUUUGGAUCUACCGAUUUGUAAACUCGGUGAUACCGAAGCAGCUUUUGGAACCUAAACUAGUGAACUCGGUCAGACCGAGUCAUAGUUCGGUGGCACCGAGACUGCUAGGGUUUCACAGAGAAUCGAACUCGGUCACACCGAUUUGCAAUUUUCGGUCAGACCAAAAACGCAUGUGCAAUGGCCUAAGCCAAAUCGGUGAGACCGAUUUCUACAACUCGGUCGGUCCGAGAUGAGUUCGGCAGAGACCUAACCCUAAAUUUUCAAAUCAAAUCUAAUCUACUGGAUGCUUUCGCUGGACAGGAUGAUUUCUUACAUGGCAAGAAUCAUGGCAAAGCAAUGUGCUACGAAUCGGAGUUAAGGAAUAGCACAAAGAUCAAGUUCAUACCCUACUUUGGCAGUAAACUUGCUACGGCAGCAACGGCGGGGCAGAUUGCCGUUGACGGUGGCAGAGACCAGCGGCGGGAGGUCGCUGACGGCGAGAGGACGAUCCGGAGACCCGAGGAGGCAGAGCAGGUCACGCGCGGGUGAAAGGUUUUGGAAAACAUUCCAAAAUUUGACCCGUCAGUAUAUAUAACCUGACCCUGUCGGUGUGACCGAGUGCAACAACUCACUGGCACCGAGAUGCAAAACUAUGAGCAGUUACCGCAACUCGGUGUGACCGAAAAGUUCUAAUCGGUUGCACCGAGAUUGAAAACCUAGAUCAACUUAGUGAUCUCGGUAUGACCGAAAAGGGUGAAUCGGUCAGACCAAAAUGCACAAAGAGGUUUUGGAAGUUUAAGUCUAUGACGAAUCGGGGACUCCGAGUGCUCCUCACACAAAGUGGUUCGAAUCUGACUUGAUCAAACUUUGUGAUGUAGCAUGAAUAGAGUUUGAGAUGAGAAAAUCAUAUAUAGCUAGCGGGAGUUCUUAGGCAUUCUUGUCCAUCCAUUUGGCAAAAGAAAAAACAAAUCAAACAAAACAACAAAUGUAUGUCCUCGAAUGAGUAAAAUAUGCAUCCAACAUGCUCACACAAUAAAAUGACAAAUGAAAUAUGUGACAAAGCAUGCACAAACACUCUAGCAUCUAUCAAGCAAUUUGGCGAUGACUAGGUCAUCUAUAUAUGAGUAUAUUGACUUAGGAGUCAAAUGAGAACAUUUGAUCAUAGGUCAUACUCAUCGUUUAAGCACAAGUGGGGUUACCACUUUUACAUAAAGCAUUGUUGUGCUCACACCAUUAGAGUUGCUUUAGCUCAAUUGAUUAGAGUAAAGCUCCCCCUAGAUGUGAUAUCCCCCCUAAGAGGGAUGAACUAACCUUGGGUUUUGUCGAUGAUGACUUCAUGUAGGUGUUGAGAUGUGGACGCUCAAUGUUGACGUAGAUCAUUCGGAGCAAUCCAUUGGAGUGAGUUGCACUUUCAAUACCUACACGGGUUAGUCCCACAAGGAACAAGCAAGGAUAUCCAUAGACAUAGAGUGAUGUUCACACAAGAUGAUGUCCAUGAAAGCAUUAGGUUACCUUGUCCCUUGUCUUACCAACAAGAGGGUUUGUGACUCCUUGAACUAGUGCAAGAUAUGGAACUUGUUUGCACUUGUCAUUGCCAAAAUGAUAAGAGUGAAGUAUGUUGGCGGAGUCAACCUCAAGGACUCUCUAGUUCUUCUUCUUCGGGAUCCACACCAUCUUGAUGGGAAUCCUUGGAGUUGUAGUCGUACUUGAUGAAGUGGAACUUGAUGUAGUCUUGGGAUCCCACUUGACCAAUGCCUUAGGAGCUUCUUCAAAUGCAUCAAUCUCCUCUUGAAGCUUGUCCUUGCCUUUUUGCUUGUGGUCUUGUGGUGGAAGAUCAUCUUGAGCUUGUGUUCCUUUGAAAGAAGUAGGAUCAUACUUGUUGAGGAACAAACUUCGUCUUGGGGUAUUGAUCUUCUUCCCACUCAACUCCAUUGGCAUUGAACUUUCGUUCAAAACCAACACCUUGAUUCUUCCGGUGUCUUCCUUGCUUGCAUACAAUUUCCUCAAAUUGCUUACUUCCGGCAAGACUCUUGUAAACACCUUUCUCUAUAAUUCCCUUCAAUAAGAUAUUUUCUUGCUCAAGUGUAAAUUGGCUAAGAGAAUCAUUAGUGGAAUCAAGAGAACUACUAGAAGCAACAAUAUUGCAUUUUGCAUGAUUGUUGUUACUACUAGAGGAAGAAUCUUUCUUGUUCUUGUUGCUAGAUUUAACUUGUGGCAUGUAAGUAGACAAGAGUAAAUGCUUGGCAAUGUAAUAAGAACUUUUCUUGCGAAGAUCAUCAUUGAUUGCUUUUAAGAACUCAUGCUCUUGCUCAAGGUAAAAAAAGGUUGAGCUUUUCAAAGCGUAGCUUCUCAUGAGUCUUUAAAAGUGCUCGAUGAUCUUCCAAGGUAGUUUCAUGAGCUAACUUAAGAGUGUUUAGUUCUUUAGUUAAACGCUCAAUCUCCUUCUUAUCAUCGUCAUUCAUUUUAUCUUGAUUAUCAUGAUUAAUAGCAAGUUCAUCAUAGUUCUCAUCACUAGAGUUGUCAACAAGUAAAUCAUCAUCUCCUAGCAAAUCAUCUUCAUCACUAUUGAAAUCAACAUAAUCGGGGUGUGUUACCUUUGGACCUUUAGCCAUAAAGCAUCUCCCAAUUCCUUCAUUUGGUGAGUCAAAUAUGUCGUAGGAGUUGGUUGUCACAAGUGCUAGUCCGGCAACACCUUCAUCUUGAGUAUAUUUGGAGUCGGAGUGAUAACUUCUUUCCGAGUGAUGGCCGGAGUCGGAACCGGAUACCCAUUCACCAACAUGAGCUUGAUGUCUUCUUUUUGUGUAGCUCCUAGAUGACUUGUCCUUCCACUUCGAAUCCUUGCUUCUCCGAGAGGGUCUUCGUUCAUAACGAUCAUCUCUACUCCUUCUCUCUCUUGGUGGUGAUUCUUCUCUCCUACUCCUUCUUUUGGGAGAAUCUUCUCUUCUUUUGAAGGGAGCCGUACACUCAUUGGAAUAGUGUCUGGGUCUUCCACAAUUGUAGCAAUUACGCUCACGACUAGAAGAUCUUUUGUCAUUGUAGGACCUUGACUUGGAACUUCUUUCCUUGCUUCUACUCUUGUAGAACUUGUUGAAGUUGUUUACCAUUAGGCUCAAUUCUUCGUUGAAGGUUUGUUUCUCACUUGAUGAUAUGGGAGCAUCACAUGAGGCUUUGUAAGCACCACUUGACUUGUUGUGGAGCUCUUCCUUAUCCUUGAGUGACAUCUCAUGAGCAACAAUUCUUCCAAUGACUUCCGUUGGCUUGAGAUCUUUGUAAUUGGGAAUCAUUUGGAUCAAUGUGCACACGGUAUCAUAUUUUCCUUGCAAGGCUCUUAGGAUCUUCUUGAUGAUGAAUCUAUCGGCCAUCUCUUCACUUCCUAAGCCGGCAAUCUCAUUUGCGAUGAGAGCAAGCCUAGAGUACAUUUCAGCGACACCUUCACCAUCCUUCAUUUUGAUCUUGUCAAGUUGACUUUGAAGCACAUCCAAUUUGGAUUCCUUGACGGAGUCGGUACCUUCGUGCAUAUCAAUCAAAGUAUCCCAAAUUUCCUUUGCAUUCUCAAGACGACUGAUUUUGUUGAAUUCUUCGGGGCACAAUCCGUUGAAGAGAAUAUCACACGCUUGAAUAUUGUAUUGCAGCAUCUUCAACUCUUCCGCGGUAGCUUCACGGUUCGGUUCUCUCCUAUCACAGAAUUCGCCUUGCAAGCCAAUACACACAAUAGCCCAAACGGCGGGGUUAUGUCCAAGAAUAUGCAUUUUCAUCUUAUGCUUCCAACUAGCAAAAUUAGUUCCAUCAAAGUAAGGACCUCUAGGUGGUAAUUUCCCUCACUAGACGCCAUACUCUCCUAGGUUGUGAAACCAAGGCUAUGACCACCAAAAGCUAUGGAAAUCAAAGCAAAUGGAGACCAAAGCUCUGAUACCACUUGUAGGAUCGAAAAGUAUGUCUAGAGGGGGGGUGAUUAGACUACUUGACCAAAUAAAAAUCUAGCCUUUUCCCAAUUUUAAGUCUUGGCAGAUUUUAGCAACUUUUCAUAAGUCAAGCAAUCAACCUACACAUCCAAUUCUAAGAGUAUAGCAGUGGAAUGUAAAACAAUUGCAUAUGAAGGUAAAGGGAGGAGUUUGGAGGGAGCAAACGCAAUGUAGACACGGAGAUUUUUUAUCCGUGGUUCCGAUAGGUGGUGCUAUCGUACAUCCACGUUGAUGGAGACUUCAAUCCAGGAAGGUUAACGGUUGCGCGAGUCCACGGAGGGCUCCACCCACGAAGGGUCCACGAAGAAGUAACCUUGUCUAUCCCACCAUGGCCGUCGCCCACGAAGGACUUGCCUCACUAGGGUAGAUCUUCACGAAGUAGGCGAUCUCCUUGCCCUUACAAACUCCUUGGUUCAACUCCACAAUCUUGACGGAGGCUCCCAAGUGACACCUAACCAAUCCAGGAGACACCACUCUUGAAGAGGUAAUAGAUGGUGUGUUGUGAUGAACUCCUUGCUCUUGUGCUUGAAAUGAUAGUCUCCCCAACACUCAACUCUCUCUCAUAGGAUUGGAUUUGGUGGAAAGAUGAUUUGAGUGGAAAGCAACUUGGGGAAGGCUAGAGAUCAAGAUUUAUGUGGUUGGAAUGGAAUAUCUUGACCUCGACACAAGUGUAGGUGGUUCUCUCUCAGAAAUUGUAUGUUGUAAGUUUAGGCAUGUUCUGAUGGCUCUCUCCACGAAUGAAGAGUGAGUGGAGGGGUAUAUAUAGCCUCCACACAAAAUCUAACCGUUACACACAAUUUACCAAACUCGAUGGGACCGAUUCAGACAACUCGGUCAGACCAAUUUAGUUCAAAAUGUGAGCGUUAGGAUUUUUGGUGGGACUGAUGUCAUUAGGGUUAGGGCAUAACUUAAUCUCGGUGAGACGGAUUACACAAACUCGGUUGGACCGAUUUUGGUAAUAAGCUAACCAGAGAGUUGGCAUGCAAACUCGGUGGGAACUAUUCGUUCAUUUCGGUUGGACCGAAACGUUACGAAGGGGAAAUAGAGAGUUUGCAUUGCAAUCUCGGUGGGACUGAUCGCUCAUCUCGGUUGGACCGAAAUGUUACGAAGGGAAACAGAGAGAUUACAAUCCCAUCUCGGUGAGACCGAGACCCCUAUCGGUGAGACCGAAAAGACUAGGGUUUGUGGCAGUGGCUAUGUCAAGUGAACUCGGUGGCGCCGGAUAGAUCAACUCGGUGGGGCCGAGUUUGACUUUUGGUUUGGGACAUAAGUGGAUAUGAUAAAGUAGUUGAGGGUUUUUUGGAGCAUAUCACUAAGCAUUUUGAGCAAGAAACUCAUUAAGCAACACCUCACCCCCUCUUAAUUGUAUUGGCUUUUCCUAUGGACUCAAUGUGAUCUUGGAUCACUAAAAUUAAAAUGUAGAGUCUUGUGCUUUGAGCUUGAGCCAAUCCUUUUGUCCUUAGCAUUUUGAGGGGUCCACUUUCUUAACCCAUGCCAUGCCAAUCAUUGAGCUUUCCUGAAAUAUUUAUCUUGAAAUGGCAUUAGCUCAAUGAGCUAUAUGUUGUUAGGAAUUACCAAAACCACCUAGGGAUAGUUGCACUUUCAGUUACCUUGUCCCUUGACUUACCAACAAGAGGGUUUGUGACUCCUUGAACUAGUGCAAGAUAUGGAAGUUGUUUGCACUUGUCAUUGCCAAAAUGAUAAGAGUGAAGUAUGUUGGCGGAGUCACCCUCAUGGACUCUCUAGUUCUUCUUCUUCGGGAUCCACACCAUUUUGAUGGGAAUCCUUGGAGUUGUAGUCGUACUUGAUGAAGGGAACUUGAUGUAGUCUUGGGAUCCCACUUGACCAAUGCCUUAGGAGCUUCUUCAAAUGCAUCAAUCUCCUCUUGAAGCUUGUCCUUGCCUUUUUGCUUGUGGUCUUGUGGUGGAAGAUCAUCUUGAUCUUGUGUUCCUUUGAAAGAAGUAGGAUCAUACUUCUCUUGUUGAGGAACAAACUUCGUCUUGGGGUAUUGAUCUUCUUCCCACUCAACUCCAUUGGCAUUGAACUUUCGUUCAAAACCAACACCUUGAUUCUUCCGGUGUCUUCCUUGCUUGCGUACAAUUUCCUAAAAUUGCUUACUUCCGGCAAGACUCUUGUAAACACCUUUCUCUAUAAUUCCCUUCAAUAAGCUAUUUUCUUGCUCAAGUGUAACUUGGAUAAGAGAAUCAUUAGUGGAAUCAAGAGAACUACUAGAAGCAACAAAAUUGCAUUUUGCAUGAUUGUUGUUACUACUAGAGGAAGAAUCUUUCUUGUUCUUGUUGCUAGAUUUAACUUGUGGCAUGUAAGUAGACAAGAGUAAACGCUUGGCAAUGUAAGAAGAACUUUUCUUGCGAAGAUCAUCAUUGAUUGCUUUUAAGAAGUCAUGCUCUUGCUCAAGGUUGAGCUUUUCAAAGCGUAGCUUCUCAUGAGUCUUUAAAAGUUCUUGAUGAUCUUCCAAGGUAGUUUCAUGAGCUAACUUAAGAGUGUUUAGUUCUUUAGUUAAAUGCUCAAUCUCCUUCUUAUCAUUGUCAUUCGUUUUAUCUUGAUUAUCAUGAUUAAUAGCAAGUUCAUCAUAGUUCUCAUCACUAGAGUUGUCAACAAGUAAAUCAUCAUCUCCUAGCAAAUCAUCUUCAUCACUAUUGAAAUCAACAUACUCGGGGUGGGUUACCUUUGGACCUUUAGCCAUAAAGCAUCUCCCAAUUCCUUCAUUUGGUGAGUCAAAUAUGUCGUAGGAGUUUGUUGUCACAAGUGCUAGUCCGGAACCACCUUCAUCUUGAGCAUAUUCGGAGUCGGAGUGAUAACUUCUUUUCGAGUGAUGGUCGGAGUCGGAACCGGAUACCCAUUCAUCAACAUGACUUUGAUGUCUUCUUUUUGUGUAGCUCCUAGAUGACUUGUCCUUCCUCUCUGAAUCCUUGCUUCUCCGAGAGGGUCUUCGUUCAUAACGAUCAUCUCUACUCCUUCUCUCUCUUUGUGGUGAUUCUUCUCUCCUACUCCUUCUUUUGGGAGAAUCUUCUCUUCUUUUGUAGGGAGACAUACACUCAUUGGAAUAGUGUCCGGGUCUUCCACAAUUGUAGCAAUUACGCUCACGACUAGAAGAUCUUUUGUCAUUGUAGGACCUUGACUUGGAACUUCUUUCCUUGCUUCUACUCUUGUUGAACUUGUUGAAGUUCUUCACCAUUAGGCUCAAUUCUUCAUUGAAGGUUUGUUUCUCACUUGAUGACGUGGGAGCAUCACAUGAGGCUUUGUAAGCACCACUUGAUAUGUUGUGGAGCUCUUCCUUAUCCUUGAGUGACAUCUCAUGAGCAACAGUUCUUCCAAUGACUUCCGUUAGCUUCUCAUGAGUCUUUAAAAGCUCUCGAUGAUCUUCCAAGGUAGUUUCAUGAGCUAACUUAAGAGUGUUUAGUUCUUUAGUUAGACUCUCAAUCUCCUUCUUAUCAUUGUCAUUUGUUUUAUCUUGAUUAGCAUGAUUAAUAGCAAGUUCAUCAUAGUUUUCAUCACUAGAGUUGUCAACAAGUAAAUCAUCAUCACCUAGCAAAUCAUCUUCAUCACUAUUGAUAUCAACAUACUUGGGGUGUGAUACCUUUGGGACUUUAGCCAUUAAGCAUCUUCCAAUUCCUUCAUUUGGCGAGUCAAAUAUGUCAUAGGAGUUGGUUGACACAAGUGCUAGACCGGCAACACCUUCAUCUUGAGUAUAUUCGGAGUCGGUGUGAUAACUUCUUUCGGAGUGGUGGUCGGAGUUGGAAUCGGAUACCCAUUCACCAACAUGAGCUUGAUGUCUUUGUUUUGUAUAGCUCCUUGAUGACUUAUCCUUCCUUUCCGAAUCCUUGCUCCUGCGAGAGGUUCUUCGUUCAUAACCAUCAUCUCUACUCCUUCUCUCCCUUGGAGGUGAUUCUUUUCUUUUGCUUCUCCUUUUAGGUGAGUCUUCUCUUCUUUUGUAGGGAGCCGUACACUCAUUGGAGUAGUGUCCGGGUCUUCCACAAUUGUAACAAUUACGCUCAUGACUAGAAGAUCUUUUGUCAUUGUAGGACCUUGACUUGGAACUUCUUUCCUUGCUUCUACUCUUGUAGAACUUGUUGAAGUUUUUCACCAUUAGGCUCAAUUAUUCAUCGAAGGCUUGUUUCUCACUUGAUGGUGUAGGAGCAUCACAUGAGGCUUUGUAAGCACCACUAGACUUUUUGUGAAGCUCUUCUUUAUCCUUGAGUGACAUCUCAUGAGCAACAAUUCUACCAAUGACUUCCGUUGGCUUGAGAUCUUUGUAAUUGGGCAUCAUUUGGAUCAAUGUGCACACGAUAUCAUAUUUUCCAUCCUUCAUUUCCUAAGCCGGCAAUCUCAUUUGUGAUGAGAGCAAGCCUAGAGUACAUUUCAGCGACACCUUCACCAUCCUUCAUUUUGAACUUGUCAAGUUGACUUUGAAGCACAUUCAAUUUGGAUUCCUUGACGGAGUCGGUACCUUCGUGCAUAUCAUUCAAAGUAUCCCAAAUUUCCUUUGCAUUCUAAAGACGACUGAUUUUGUUGAAUUCUUCCGGGCACAGUCCGUUGAAGAGGAUAUUGCAAGCUUGAGCAUUGUAUUGCAACAUCUUCAAUUCUUCCGAGGUAGCUUCACGAUUUGGUUCUCUCCCAUCGAAGAAUUCACCUUGCAAGCCAACACACACAAUAGCCCAAACGGCGGGGUUAUGUCCAAGAAUAUGCAUUUUCAUCUCAUGCUUCUAACUAGCAAAAUUAGUACCGUCAAAGUAAGGACCUCUAUGGUGGCAAUUUCCCUCACUAGACGCCAUACUCUCCUAGGUUGUGAAACCAAGGCUAUGAUCACCAAAGCUAUGGAAAUCAAUGAAAAUGGAGACCACAGCUCUGAUACCACUUGUAGGAUUGAAAGUAAGUCCAGAGGGGGCGGGGUGAUUAGAGUACUUGACCAAAUAAAAAUCUAGCCUUUUCCCAAUUUUAAGUCUUGGCAGAUUUUAGCAACUUAGUACAAGUCAAGCAAUCAACCUACACAUGCAAUUCUAAAAGUAUAGCAGUGGAAUGUAAAUCAUUUCAUAUGAAGGUAAAGGGGAGGAGUUUGGAGGGAACAAACGCAAUGUAGACACGGAGAUUUUUGGCGUGGUUCCGAUAGGUGGUGCUAUCGUACAUCAACGUUGCUGGAGACUUCAACCCACGAAGGGUAACAGUUGCGCGAGUCCACGGAGGGUCCACCCAUGAUAUGUCCAUUUUGCAUCAUGUUUUCUUACUGCAUUUUAUAAGGUUUUUAUCCAUAAUAAUGCUUUUUGGGGUAAUUAUAAUGCCUUUUCUCUCAUAAUGUGCAAGGUACACACAAGAGGGAGAAUUCCGGCAGCUGGAAAUCUGGACCUGGAAAAGCUACGUCAGGCCUCCUAUUCUGCACAACUCCAAACAAGCUGAAACUUCACAGAGAUUUUUAUGGAAUAUUUAAGAAUUAUUGGAGCAAAUAACUACCAGAGGGGUCCCACCAGGUGGGCAUAACCCACCUGGGCGCGCCAGGGAGCCCAGGCGCACCCUGGUGGGUUGUGCCCUCCUCGGCCCACCUCCAGUGCCCAUAUUUUGGUAUAUAAGUCAUUUUGACCUAGAAAAAAAAA
Molecule: long non-coding RNA, 85117 nt
Filed under: Triticum aestivum (bread wheat)
Lineage: Eukaryota; Viridiplantae; Streptophyta; Magnoliopsida; Poales; Poaceae
Description: long non-coding RNA (TAES_LNC000025)
Source: RNAcentral